AAAAAAAAAGGAAAAGUAAUGAGUCAAGCGAGGAAGUUAGGGAGAACAUAAUUUUUUUUCACUUAUAAUUUUUUUGUUGAAUUUUAUUUUGUUAAUUCUCCUUUACUUUUAUGCACUCGUAAUUGAUUUUAUAAUUUUGUUUAUAUAUAUAUGGAUGGUUGGAUAAAAAGAGAGUGUCGUGCUGAAGAUCACAUUACCUUGCUUGAAUAUGUUAUUAUGUUUUGAUAAAAAUGUCAAAGGUGAAAUUGUUAGUGAUAAUUACGUUGUUUAGAUAUAACUCCAGUUACAACUCAAUUUGUGUCUGGUACAUGGUGUAAUUUGUCAUAUUUUAUUAGCAUCAUUUGACCGAAAAAUUUGAGACUUUUUUAAUGCACAUAUUUGAAGGAUUUUUAACAGCAUGUUACUAAGUUAAAUUUAAAUCAGGUCUUGAAUUGUUGUUUCGGAGGUGAAAAUUUUGUAAAGUGUAUGAUUAAAUUUGUGUCCAUCUCUAUUAAUUAACAAAUGUAGAGAUAGGCAAAAUAUAGUAACUAUUUAUAAGAUUAAAAAUCAUAGGGGUGGUCGCGAAUUGAUAUAAAUUAAUAUUUUUAUGGUAACUUUGCAUAUAAAAUAUGUUUGGUGAAGCAUCAUUGGUAUUGGCUAAAAAUGACAAGUGGGGUAGUUGAAGUAAGGAAAGUAAAAAGAUGUAAUUAUUGGUAAAUACUAACUAAAAUAGGAGAUGCCCAUGUCUAAGAAAUGAAACUAAAAUCGAAGAAUAGAGCCCAUUGGUUUGGCCCAUUUAUUAUUUGGAUCUACCUUCUGUAACUUUGAACAAUCACUCUUCCUAUUUGGACCCAUCUAACUAUGAUUACUUUUUAUUUAAAAUAUUAGGUGUUUCUUCAAACAAUACAAGCAUUGGGCUCCAAAAGCCUACAGGAUGACACAGUCAAUGCAAAGGCUAAAAGGCAAAUCCACCACUAAGGGGGAGUCAAAGCCACAACAAGAACCUGGAGAAGGGUCACCGUCACCACCGUGGACAUCGUCAGGAGUCACCGACUUAAGGAGAUUUCAAGCCUUCGGAGCGGCGUCAGCAACCAGCCACCACGCGCCAGCUGACGAGGGUUAUCGAUGACGGUGGCUCCACCAAAUGUAGAAACCUUGCCGGAGCAGAAGAAACCGAGAGCCGAGGAGACCCCUGGCCAGAGAAAAGGAGAUGUGCUCUGAGAGAAAAAUGUGAAAAAACCACAUGGUAACUGAGAGUCGCUCCACCACGUAGGAUUCAAAUAGUAUCAUAUAUAUAUAUUUUAAUUCUUGAAUUUUAUUUUUUACUGUAACGUAGAUGUCACUCUUAAAUCCUGUUUCUAAAAUCUAAAGAUUUCAUAAUUAAUUCAAACAAAUAAAAAAAAAACUUGUAGCAUAUAAUUAUUUUUAUACCUACCAUUUUUCAUAAUAAUAUAUUUUAUAUUUUCUUUAAUGCAGGCACGGACAAAAAUCCGUAUCUAAGGGACUACACCAUCAAGCCCGGGUUUGUGACCCAUGAAAAGCAUGUUUUAAUGUAAUAAAUCCAAUAAUAUAAAUAAAGUAGGUAUAAAAAUCAUAUUUAAAUUUAAUCAAAUUCAGAAAUUGCUUUGCUUUUCUCCUUAUUAAUAUAACAUCAAAUCUACGUUAUUUUGAUCGAUUGACAUGAAUAUCAUUAUUAAUUUAAGAGGAUAUAAAUUUGAAUAUACUGAAACACAUGAAUGAGUGCGAAGCUAUAAAUAAUUUUACAUAAUAAUAAAAUAAGGGCCCAUGUCAUAUAAAAGGCCCAAUUUAAGCAAACCUCUCACGGGAAAUCCACUCACAUGACUCGCACUCCAUCCCUUUUCUUUUUGUCUCCCUCUCCAUUCCAUUCCAUCAAAAAAGGAAGACAACUUUGUAGUUUAACCCCACACACACAGUACUGUUGUUUUCGCCGGGAACCAACGUACCAACAAUCCUCCAUAUUUUCCUUUCCAUUUCCUUCCACUUUUAUGCUUUUUCUCUUCCCUUUUCCUUCAACUUACAAAUUGUCUUUUUGCUUUUUCAUUCUUUUUAUACUUUUGGGCGGUUUCUUUUUUAUAACAUAUUAUGUAUAUUUUGCUUGUGACAUCUGGAGAAGAAAAGAAAUGAGAAGGGGAAAGGCAAGUCAAGAGGAAGAAGAGUUUGGUUCCAAAAAGACAGGGCCUUCUUCCUUUCAUACUCUCUCUGUCAACGCUAAUACCAAUACCAACACCAAUAUCAACAAUGGUAUAUCAUUAGAUUGGAUCCCACUCUUUAACCCAGAUCUCCCUUUUCCUUUAUUACUAAUUUCUAUAUGGUUGCUUCUUAAAGGGUGUUUUUUUCUUUUCUUUUGUUGAAUUUGGAAUUCUGGGUUUGUUUCGUUUUUUUUUGUUUGUUUGGGGCUGUAGAAGCAGACGGGAAAGACAGUGAUAAGGCUAAAGCUAUACGAUCAAAACACUCUGUCACGGAGCAGAGGAGGAGGAGUAAGAUUAAUGAAAGGUAUCUCUUUUUUUUUCUUCCAGUUUCAAUGUCCAUCUUUUAUCAUUACUAUGGAAAUUGAGGGAAGGGGACUGAGCUGAAGUUCAAGUAAUUGCAUAAACCAUUGAAUGUAAUGGUUCAGGAUACGAUGACUCUAACAAAGUUUUUAACUUUAUCAGCUUUGGUUGACUUUGUUAUGGAAAUAUUGAUGAUUGAUACAAGGAAUUGUAUUUUGUAGCUAAUUCACUGUAUUAUGAGUAGAUGAUGAUUCUACUGAGCGUUUAAAAGAAUGAUUAAGUUUAUAAAAUUCUAACUUGAAUUGGCACCUGAAGUGUUGACGUUAUUGGCCAUGUUAUGGUGACUGAAAAUGUUUGCUUCUUCUCUUGCUACCACUGAGUUAAGUGCUUGUUCUACAUGGAAGCUUGGAUCCAAAAUUAAGUGCUAUUGUAUUACUGUAUAUGUACCAUGGAUUCUUGAGGGGUUACAAAUUGAUGAUGCAGCCUGCUUAACUUUAUGAAUAGUAGUAAUACUAAUAGCUUUGGCGUCUUUUAGAUUUCAAAUAUUGAGAGAUCGUAUACCAAACACGGAUCAAAAGAGAGAUACGGCUUCAUUCUUGCUAGAGGUAUGUUAUGAAUCCAGAAUGGUGUUUGUAUAACUAUUUUCCUUCUGAAGAACUCUGCUUGAAUAAUUGUUGUUGGAUCAAUCUUCUUUUGCAGGUCAUAGAGUAAGUCCAAUUUUUACAGGAGAAGGUUCAAAAAUAUGAGGGUUCUUACCAGGGAUGGAGUUCAGAGCCCACGAAAUUAAUGCCAUGGGUACGUUCUUAUAUGGAAUGCUUUCCAUUCAUGUGGUUUAAGUGGUUAAUUUCCAUGCUAUGAUGAUUUGUGUGUAUAUGCUUUAUUAAGCUAUUAGAUAGUCUAUUUUCUUCUUGUCAUUGUUAUUAUUGGAAAUUCAGUUCAUUAGGCUUGUUAAUGAUGUAUGUGAUAUUUUACUGGUCUUAUUUUUGAAUAUGCGAAUUGCUUUAAGUCAUUGUUGCAAUUCUUCAUUGUGGUGAUAAGAGAAUAUACUCGAUUCAUUUAUUUGUAUGGUAUUGAUUUUUUAAAUUUUAUGUUAAGCGUUGCAAUAAUUGGAUGUGGUGGAGUAUCUUAUCUAUUAGUCCUUAUAUGAUUGUUGUGAAUGUGAAUUUCAGGCCAUGGCACUGCUCAGAAUUGCAAUAUUCAAGUGCUUUGUAUUGUUUUAUUUUGAAGGUGUUGAUUGCUUGCAUUAACAAUUUACUUGGUGUUGAAGAAUGUGGCUGUAGAUGGUGCCUGCUUAUUUGUGGUAUUAACCUUCUGAUUAAUUACUUACUCUUGCCUUCCUCGAAUAGAGAAACAGUCAUUGGUGUGGUCAGAGUUUUGUUGAUCAACCGCAAGCUAUUAAAAAUGAUCCUGGGCUGGGGUCAACAUUUUCUGGGAAGUUAGAUGAGAAUAACAUCAAUAUCACCCCCUCAAUGAUCGCAAGUGCAUUGGAUCCAUCAGAAGCUGAUCCAAUCAGAGAUAAUGAGCAAGCUGAGUUGGCUGUGCCCAUUCAAGGUGGGCAUCCACUUCAGAGACCUGUGUCUGAGGCUCAAACAACGGAGUGUCUUACCAGCAAUGAUACACUGAACCAACAGGAUGAUCUGGCCAUUGAAGGAGGAACGAUUAGCAUCUCUAGCGUCUACUCUCAAGGGUGGGUAUAUCCCCCAGCAACAUUGCUUGUUUUGCAUACAUUAUGAGGCACUUAUGUUGCUGAAUGUUGUUCAUGGAUGAUAAUGUGAAGCAGGUUAUUGAACACACUCACACAAGCACUGCAGAGAACGGGUUUGGAUCUGUCACAGGCCAACAUCUCGGUGCAGAUAGAUCUGGGAAAGCGUUCCAAUAGAGGGCUAACAUCGUCUGCUAAGGUAUUAACUCAAAUUAAGCAAAACAUGUGUUGGUUGAACCUGUUAUAGGGUUUAUUAUCCCAUGUUUAUUACUGAGAUGGGUUAAUAUAACACUACAUCAUGCAUGUUCUGCUAUAAUAUUUUUACAGGAGUCUGCCAAUGGGGAGGAUUCAAAUCCAGUUCAAAAGCGGCUGAAGAAAUAACAUUCAAGUUUUAUCCUUCCAUCUGUUAUAUAUCUGUUUUGGUUUCGUUGGGUUAUUGUAUAUGCUUGGGUUUUGGUUGUAGCAUAUGUUUUUGUGAGAUGGCUCCUGGGAUUUCCAUCCGUGGAAUAUCAAUGUUUAACUGUAUUAUAACGGAUCAUGUAUAUAACAAAUCAUCUUGAUGGCGAAGGUUAAGCCAUCUGAAAUCAUAAAGAUGCCUCAACUGCCAAUCAAUUGGUUAUUCAAAAAAACACAAGCUUCAAUCACUCACACAAAGGAUUGUAUGAAACAAAUCCCUUUGUUUACUAUUUUAAUUUCCCUGUUAAUUAGUUACAUUUUAUGAGAGACAAGUUUAUUGCUAAUUCAUGUCAACUCCCAUUGCUUUAACCAGAAAAGCGUAGUCAUAAGCCAAUUCCUCGCACUGAAUAUAGCGGCCACCUUCACCGAAAUGUCCUCCGCUCAUAUUUGUAGUAAGAAUGACAGAAGGAGAACAUGAAGAGCAAGCAGAAUCUCGUACUUUGGCCACCCAUUUGGCAGCUUCCCAAACUCCAACCCUUUGAAUCAAUGAAUGAUAUAAAUGCAACAAUCAUUAGUCAAUGGGUGUAUGCAAGUUUUUUCUGAACGACUGUACAAAAAGAAUUUAAAGCCAUGGAUUGGCACAAGUAUGGAGACAUUCAUGCAAAUAUAAACUAAAAAAUAGAAGUGGAUGAAGCAGGCUUUUACCUCGAGUCGUUAAAUGAUGCUGUAACAAGAACCGAAGGGUGGCAACCUCUGGGACGAAUGUUUUUAUAUGGACAAUAACUUGAUAUGCACUCAAAUUCAGACUUUAUCCCAGGAUUACCAAAUUCUUCAUAGUCCAACAUUGUGAGAGGCAAACUAGGAUCCAGUAAUGAGUUCAAUAUAUCAAGAAAAGGUACCUGUUUGAAAUAUUAACAAACUCUCUAUUAUGACACUUUAAUGACAGAAAACCGGAAAACAACAGCUUCCUCAUGGUCUUCCCAGUUUUAUUAGCAAAAAGGUACAGGAAAAAAAUUUUAAUCUUUGAUUUAGCACUGGAAGGUUUCUUAUCAGCACUCAGAUCGAACUUCUGUUUAUUUAAAGCCUGCUUAUUAGCUAUGUAGUACUCGAGCAAGAAAGAGUAAUAUUAUAAUAAAUGUCAGGUAUCUUGCUAAAAUGGCUAACCUUCAAGAUUGCAGCAUGAAACAAGUUUGGGUACAUAUUGAGAGCCGCCCCUAUAAGAAGACACCCAGCACUGACUCCAAUGGCACUCAGUUGAUCUCUCUGAACAUAGCCCUCAUCAAUUAGGUACUUGCCACACGACACGAAAUCAUGUAUAGAAUUUUGUUUCAACAGUCCAUUGCCAGUUUUAUGCCAUGAAGGAUCAUCACCGCCACCACCCCUGUCGAGAAACAUAUUGAGCAUUUGAGAUAACAAAUAACAAUAUCUAAGACCAUCAUAUACCGACAAAUGUUUAUUGAAUUCUUUCCAUUUUUUAACUGAACAUGAAGUACAAAGCAUGAAAAAAAACAUUGAUGCAAACACAAAGCCAGGAAUGUAAAAUCAAGAAUGUGAACAAGUACUUGAGGAGAAAAUGAUUCAAACAAAUGGGGGAAACAACUGAUCAGACAAGAAAGAGAAUAAUGACUUCUAGUUGCAUUUUGUCACCCUUCUUAAGAUCCAUAUGCUUGUGUACAAAAAUCAACAAUAUUGAAGACAGAAAUACACAACUAAAUUCACAAAUUAGUUGAAAAUGAUGUGGUUUAGUUUGAAAAAAGGGAUGCCAAACAAAUUUGAUAGAAGGAAGAAAACAUGAACCAACCUUACAUCAGCAAAUGCAAUCACCCAUCCACGAUCAAGUAAACUGAGGCGGUCCACACGCCAACUUUUAUCAAGGACUUCACCGUAUGCUCCAUAACCAUGUAAAAUUCCAGGAGACUGACUGCUCUUCCAUGCUUUUGGAGAGUACAAAAUGGUCAGAGGAACCCGGAUGCCAUCAUGCGAAAUAACUUCCUUUCUUUCGCAACAAUAAGUACUGGAAAAGUCUUUCCAUCUUUCUAAUUCAACAUUUUUGUCCUUUGCAUCCUUUUCAAUGCCAUGUUGUUGCAGGGUAUCUAGUUCAUAUCCUGAAGAGCAUGAUCGAGCAUUACUAGGAGCACCAAGCACUUCCUCUUGUUGGACAAUUGAGAAAGUUCGUCUUGCCAUGUCAUAAUCAACAAUCACAUCAGGUAUCUAGAGAAGCAAAAAGACAGGCUAAACAAAUUUAGAGUCAAUCAAACAAGAUAAACAUCCAAGCUCAAGUAACUAAAAUAAGCACAGCACAUAAAAAACAAAUCCGACUCACCAGUCUUUACUUUUUACUAAGCAGAGAGACUUGUUACUAUCAUUAGCAAAUGAAAUAACUAUGAAAAUAGAGAAGAUCAAUAAACAGUUCAUUUUAGUGACUUAAGAAAAUGUAAGGUUUCCCUAGAGUCUUGAAUCUAUUGCUAUCAGCCUUUAGAGCUCCUUGUCUCAAUUGGAGAAAGGCAGAUCAUUCAUACUCAUCAGCAUUGCAAGAGCUUUGUCAUGUUUGUAAACCAAGAAAUGAAUUGAAAAAAUAAUUUCAGUAACAGAGAUGCACAUUAAGCAUAUUGACAUCAAAUGUAAGACAGAGAAAGCCAUAAAGAGUCCAAAGCAUCAAGAUAUUAAAAGUAACUGUAUCAUAAUCAAGCUCAUAAGAAAUUUACCACUGGAGAUGAAAGCACAACUCUGUAUACUGAGCUCAUGAAGUCAAGGUUUGAACCUGGUUCAAUACUACAUGAAUUUGAGGGUAUAGGGAAAAACCAUGGAUUAAGAUCCUCGAUCAGCAUUUGAUGCUACAAAAUAACUCACCACAUUGAAAAUCAGUAUCCUCUUAUGUACUCUGACUAAUACUUAUUUCUAUUUUCAUAACUUGCAAGGGUGAAAAGAAAUCAUCAAACCAUAUAAAAUUGAAAGGUUGCAAUUAGGAGUUAAAAAACCCAAAAUUAAAAAGCAUUUCCAUGGUGAAACUCAAUAUUGUAUCGAAAGGCAAGGAAAACUAAGUUUCUGUGCUAAAAAAUGAAUAAUAUGUUACAAGUGACUUAAGAGUUCAUGAAGCAUAGAACGAAAAGCUUGGAAACAACAAACAAUAAUUCAUAUUGCACAUUUAUUUAAUAAAAGAGAGACAAAAGCAGAAAUUGCAAUACCUUGCAAUCAACAUUAAUAGGCAAAUCAAUAGAACAUAUCAUAGGAAAGCCAUCCUUAUUGAGAAAAAGCACCAAAUGUCCAUUGAAAAUAUCCAUAUCCUGUAUACAGGUAUCUUCACCUGGGUAGAAAAUAUUCUGGGAAAAUAUACAUACAGAAAUGUAUCAUGAUGUGCAUAAAGGAUAGUUUGAAUAGAAAUUUUCAGUUGAGAAAAGAUAAAUACAAAAAGGAAUCGGGUAUCCACUUCUCCAGAUACGAAUAGAACAAACCUGCCAGGUGGUUGACUGGAUGUCUCCAACUCGACAUCUAGCUAAAUAUAAACCUUCAUGGGAACACUUUAUAUUUUCUUUCAUAGGAGCAUUUGUAAGAAUAUAAAAGAAACCAAAAUGAUGUUCCAAAAAAUAUUGUACGCCAGAAACACGCUCAUGUACUCUUUGCAAGCCAUUCAAAGGUUCAGUUGCAUCUACAACAUAAACCUGUAAUAAUGCAAUGGAUAUAAGAUUGGCAUAAGGGAUAAUUAUAAUCUAAAAAGGGUAAAAGGAAAAGGUAAUGAAAAGGUAAAUGCCUUCCUCAGAUGAGCUCCUUGAAUUUGAAUUCACAGUUAUGAACUUGCCAUCUUUUGUACUUGUUAGGUCCACACAAUAGCUAGGAUCAUUUUCCAUAAAUACCAAGGUAUCAUCUGUAUUACCCGGUUCUAAUUUCGUGCAAAGAACCCUGCAAAAAAUUUAGAGAUAUGUUGGGCAACAUAUCAAGUUCUAAGAAAAAUAAGGCAACACAGUGAAGAAAUAUGCCUGUAAGGUCUUUGAUUCUCAUCAGCAAUUGUAUAGAGCAGAGUCUUGCAAUCUUGAGCCCAUGCCAAGCUAACAACUCCAUUUACUGGUUCCAUUGGAAUAAUACAUCCAUUUCUGAGGUCCUUAAUUUGAAGCAUGAACUGUUCACUGCCAGUAGCAUCAAGCGUGUAUGCUAGAAAAUUGUGAUCUGGUGAAAUUCGACACUGACCCACAUGAACAUAACCUGCACAUAUGACAUAAUAACACCAAUCAAAACCUUAAGCAAAGAAAAUUAUUUCAGUUUUAGUCAUACAUAUGUGAUAAAGAACAAUACCAUGGCCAAAUAAUCAGAACCAUAAACUUUCAUUUUCUGUUUAAAAGGACUCACUUUUUGCUAUUCUAUUCUAUUCUAUUCAUUCAAGUUUUGAAGUUUUUAACAGUAAUAGACAGAUAGUGAUGGCAUAACAUAUGAUGUGCCUCCAUCCAAUACAGAUAUAAUAAAAGUUCAAAGAAAAUUUACCAUGUUUUUCAGCAACUUCAUUCCAGUCAAGCAAAAUUUCCUCCCUUCUAAACUCAGCUUUCACAUAACUGAGAAUCUUUUCCGCCCAACCAGGUUUGUUAGUUUGUAACCUCCUGCAGAGAACUGGGUAUUCCUUCCCUUCUGGUAUGUACUCGUAAUACAGCCUGCGUAAAACGUAUGUAAACUCAAAUUUUAUUAAGCUGCAAGCGUUGGCUAAGAUUCUAAUAAAUUUUAAAGAUUAGGUGAUACCAUGUUCUACACCAAAAACAAGCAGACAUCCGUAAAUUUUCUAAAACAGACACGAUGUAAACAAAAUAGCUCUAAGAAGGCACCACUUAAUAAAAACCCAAAUCUAAAUACUAGCAUAAACCCCAAAUAACAACACAACCACUAAUGUCAAAGAAAGAUAGAAAUUCCAUAUUAAAAAAAAUUAAAAACUUAGCCAAAACUAUGAAAUGGGGCAUAUCAGAAAACACAAACCAGGGUCCAAAACAUUCAACAGGGGUGGAGACCUUAGAGGGCAUCCGGUUUUUCAUCUCAGCAACAAGAGUUCGUUGCAGGGAUCCAGUGUCAGCCAUGAAAGCUUGAGCAUAAGAGUUUUCUUGGUUGAGGUAGUUUAAGAAAUCAGGGUCGUUGGUGUUGCGCAUCCAAUGGUAAGGAUCUUGCCAGGAAUGGCCGUGAAGGGAGAGUGUGAAAGGAACCCUUUUGGGAACUGGAGGGGGUUGAGAAGGGACUGAGAUGGGCUCUGCUCUGGAUUUGGAAGAGAAAGAUGAAGAAGAAGACGCAGAUAUGGAGGGGAUUAAGGCGAAAGACAGCCAAAAAGAGUGGGCUCUGAGUGAAGUGUUGGAGACUGAGCGGGAGAGAAGGUGCAUAUCGAUGUAGUUUCUAAGACCCAAGACCAUUUGCCUUCACUCCCUCUUUCUAUAUACUACAGUAUGAGAAACCCACAAUCUGGCUAAAGAAGGGUUUAUGGAAAAAGAUAUAUAAGUUUAUUUAAAAAUCAAAUCAAACUUUGUUUCAAAUCUUAAAUUUGAUUUAUAUUUAUCUUAAAUUUUUUAUAUGAAAUAUAAAAAAUAUAAAACAUCUUUAAAAUAAUUUUUUAUAUAAUUUUUUAUCUUAAAUUAUGGGUUUAAUUACUUAGUUAAACUCGAAAGCAUUUGAACAAAAAAAUUAAUCCAAAAAUAAGCUUAUUUAAAAUAAAAGCAACGCUCAAGUUCCAAUAUAAUUCCGAGCUUAACCUAUUUUUCAAGUUUAUGAUAUAUUAUAUAUUAUAUAGAUUAUGUAAAUUUUUUUGAAGGUAUAUAAAUAAUAUAAUUUAUAUUAUAUGAAAAAUUAAACAUAUUAUAAUGUAAAUAUUAUAUGAGAAAAUAAUAUAAUUUACCGGUUGUUAAAAAGAAUAAAGAAGAAAAUCAACUAGCAAAUCAAAUGGAGCUUAAACUCAUCUUGGAAUUGAGCUUGAAGUUGGAUUCAGUAUAAGUAUAUUAAAUUUUUUGAACCCACUGGACGAGACUGAAUUACGAAUACAAAUACAUAGGAAAAGCAUUAACAAGAACAAUCUGAUUAAUAAGAAUGAGUUUCUCUGUACAAGGCAAGUAAUGAUGUUCUAAUUGUUUCUUGCGUUUAAAUAAAUGAAUAAAUACCAUAUCAUAAUAUCUCUUUGCAUAAACCAAACACACUGAAAUCAUUUUCUCAGACUACCCCCUUUCUUUAACAGCUUCUGCCAUCCCUUCUCCUCGCCAUCAGACUUACUCCCAUUCUAAGCUUUAGUUCCUGCUGCAUUCUUCUUCUCAUCUUCAACAUCCUGCAAUUAGCCAACAAAUUUGAAUCAUAUAUGUUACGACCAAUUCAAAGAAGGCAGAACCACCUUAGGACCAACAUUGUUGAGCCAAAACUUAAACAUGCUACGAGAUGUAGAUCCAAGGAUGCAACAGACCUAUUAGGAGUUAGGGCACCUUAAAAACAGGAUGUAUAAAGUUAUUCAAUCUUACAGAAUUUUCAAUCUUGUCAAAAUCAUCAUCCAAGCUCCCAUCUGCAUCAGCAUCAGCAUCAGCAUCAUCUGAAAAGCAUGCAAAUAAUUAGCUUACUUAUAGUAAAAAAUCACUAAUGCAAAUAAUGAAAGAAUACCAAAGAAUAUACCUCCACCACCAUCGCUAUCAAAAUCUCCCAACAAAAAUGUAUCCAAAUCUUGCUCGGCAGAUGCACUUGAUGUUUUAGUUUUCAAACUACUUUCUGACUCUGCCUUCACAACAGGUUUUUGCUGUGGUUUAUCCUCUUUUACCCCCUCCACUCCUCUCUGUUUAACUUCCUCCAUGUACUGCUUCUCAUAACUGAUAAAUAUAAACACCUUACAUCAUAAUUAGAAUUUGAUUGCUAACCCUAAAUUAUCAUAAUCAUCACAUCAUCAUCAUAAUUAAACACUUACGGUGCAACAUGAGUGCUUACAAGAGUGAAAUAUAUCCUCCAAAAAUUCCUUUCUUUCAUCAAACGAGGACACAAUUCAUAUCUCAAUUUCUUGAUUUCCUGCAUAAGAAUAAUAUGUUUUGCAUAAAGUAAUUAUUGGAAGUACAAAAUCUGAAAUGUUUCAUGCAAUUCUUACUAAACUUAAGUCUAGCUUGAAAUUUCCUUUUGGAAUACAAAAUUAUAAUGACACAAAGAAUUGACUUCAGGGAAAGUUCAUCUCAAUGCCAAGUUCAGCAAUUAGGAUUAAACACAACUACAGAGUAGAGCCAAACGCAGCCUUAGAGCUACAAAAUCUAUAGUGAAAUGUAACACACGCACACACACAUAUAUACCUUCACAGUAGUAAGAACAAGAGUGGCAUGCCUCUCUUGCCAUUCACUCAGAUCCUUCCGUACAUUGGACCCCACAGUAGUCGAAUCGGACGGCUCUGGUUCGUCUACAAUGAAAUUUAAAACUUUCAGACAAUUUUAUCUUUCAGAAGAAAGAAAACACACAAAAGAAAUGCAAUUAAACGAAAAGUUUACCUUGGACAGGGGAAGGGAAGUUCUGGAAAGUAGUUGAAGUAAAGCCUUUGACAAAAUCUCUCAAAUCAUCGGUGAGUCCGAACUUGCGGAGCUCCGAGUCGGGGAUAGGAGGAGGAUCGGAAGAAGUAGAGGCGGGAGAGGAAAUGGAGAGGGAGGAGAGUUGAGGAGGGAUAAAAUCGGAAAUGGACUUAGAGAUGGAUUGGAUUUGGAUUUGGUCGGCUUGUUUGAGAGCGGCAGUUUUGAGCUCAUCGGCUUUCUUGGUGGCUUCGACAGCAAGUUCCUUGGACUUCUUGGCGGUUUCAGCGACAAGAUCGGCCAAUUUGUUGGGCGAAGUUAGGGUUUGCGAUUUCUUAGCUGCUUCUUCAGCGAAUGAUUUCGCUCGCUUCCAAAAAUCUUCCAUCUUGGGGAUCUGAUAGAUUUGAUUCUUCGCUUUCUCUGUUUCUCUGUUUGCCGUCUUAAGAACUUCGCUUUUACUUCUUGGAGGACUCUCACGAAACGGCGCCGUUUCCAGAGUCAAUAGAUCUCUAGAUCCCGGCUACUAUUCUUAUUUAGAAAGUUUUUUUAUAAUUAAUUAAAAUUCAAAUAAAAACUUUUUAAUUAUGAGAUAAUUAUUUGAAGUGGGUCCCGGCCUAGCCUGGGUGGGCUGGAUCUAACGGUUGUACGAAUGACAAAGUCGCAGUUUCAGGUUAACUUUUUUAUUUAUCUUUUCUUUUUUGCAAAAUUACAGUCAUUAUUCAAUUAUUAAAAAUACCUGACUGUUCGUUAACUUCACUUAAUCCAUAAUUAUCCUUUCUUUAAAUCCUCAAUUAUUAUACUCAUAUUGUUUAAACAUGAUUGAAUUGAUUAUCAGAUUGGUUGAAGCGAAAAUUAACGAUGAUAGUUUUGAACUGAUUAAGUUAGUAACUAAUACAAACUAAUAAAACUAAUCGAAUGAGUAGUUAAAUCCAAUUUUUUUAAAUUUUUAAUAAUUUUUUAAUUAAAUCAAUUGUACUGAUGAACCCAAUAAAUUAAUUAUCUAACCGGUAAUCUAUCGAUGCCAGUUGAUUUCAGUCUUAUCAUCCAUCCGCCCAAUCCACUAUUCUGAAUUUCAGUAAACCAAAAAGUAGGCCUAGCUCUCUGAGGCCACCAUGCUUUAAACUCGGCCGAAAAGUCCGAUUCAUGUAUAUAUAUUUUAAAAAGGAAAAACCUUAGUAAUUGAAGAAUAGUAAAAUAAAAAAUAGUUAUGUUGGAAUUACGUCGGAUAAAUAAAUGAGAAAAAUAAAGAACUGUGGCGACAUAAUUUCAAGCAUAUCCAGCUUGACAUUUAACAACAAUUCCAGCCCUUAAAUCUUGGCAAACGCAGACUCAAAGUAUCAUCAAGUAAAACAAUAUGACACUGCAAAUGUUAUCACUUUGACAUUCAGUUCAAUAUUAUGAACGAUGCAAUAUGUUCUUGGAACUGAAUGAAUUUAGCGUAUGGGCUGAGAUUAUGGACAAAAAAUAUUCUGGGUAAAUAGUAGGAAAAAGAAUACGAACAAUGAACACUCUUUAUCUGAUGAUAUAAGAUGAUACUAUGAACAAAUUGAAAAAACCAAAACCAAAUGCUCCAAUGGUAUAUGAAAAUGAUAAGACAUUGCUUACAGCUCAAUUUACAUGCAUGAGAUCAACCCCCCCCCCCCCAAAAAAAAUAUAAUUUUGAUAAGCACAAAAUAAUAUAUUUAUAUAACCUAUGGAUCGAAUAGAGAAGUAUUCAGAAUCUACAGCAAAGGAGGCCCUGUCUCCAACCUCGGUGCUUCCUGUAAUGUCUCCCCUCAGCUUUUGCCAUUCUUACCGGGCUGCUAUUCCAUUCAGAUUGCAAUCUGUAGGAAUGAACAAUGUCCAAGCAGCCUAUGAUUAGUUUUGGGUUGGAUAUGGAGGACAAGUUACGUGCAAGAAACGAAUGGUACUUACAUAGGGAAGGCAAAAGAACGAGUGCUUGUUGUGCUGCUAUCUGAUCUAUGAGAGAGACUGCCUGAAUAUGCUAUUGGCCCAGAGUAAGUUAUUAGACCUGCAGCAGAGAAACUACACUCUCCAUAGCCGCGCUGAAGAUUGCUCGACAAAAGCUGAUCAGCUGGAUCUUCCAGCUUGGGCGUACUUCCACUUGCAAGAGGUUCAAGAUCAAGACUGUGGCAACAACGAUCUUUGCUGCUUGUUCGUGCAGAGGAAUCAGAUACCUCAUCGACAAUUCUGCUGCCGGUUGAUUCCUCAGAAGCGGAGGCCAGAACAGGACUGAUCAAGGUAGCUUCCCAUUUCCCAUGCUCGGAUUCUUCAGCUGCAGAAACCAAAGCAGGAGCUGAGAGAAUUACCUCCUCAUUCCCAUUGUUUGAUUCCUCAACUGGAGAAACCAAAGCAGGCAUCACCGUCGCUUCCUUUUCGCUCGAGUUCUACAUGCAAAUAGAAACAUAUCAUGUUACUUCCUAAAAUGUGAACCCUCUCCUCCUGAACAAUCUGUAUAAUAAUGGAUAUUCAUAGAUUUCUAACAUAAAUACUGUCAUACUUGUUUACUUUAAGCAUAGAGGUCCAUUUUCAUUGGAAUUUGUAUAAUACAUCAACAUUUUAGUAACUUUGAUUAAUUAAAAUUUACCUGAAAAUUCUGUUGUUGGGUUCCAUCACUUCUGCAAUCGGAACACACAAUUUCAGCUUUCACUGUGCUCAUUUCUGACAUCAAUACUAACUCUCCAAGUCCAAGGGUAUACAACUCUUUGGAGACGUCUUCUGUAAUCAUUUUCACUGCAUCUUCCUUCAUUUCCCUUGAUAAAAUAAAAUCCUUAGAAUCACACUGAUAUGGAAUUCCCUUGUUAGACUCACUUUCUUCUAGUAAGGAAACAUCUUGUACACAUGUAUCAGCAUCAAGUUUUUUCUUCGUGCCGCAUUCAUCGUCAAUAUCCUUGCCAGAUUGAUUUCCUUCAGGAUGGGCUUUCAAGUUUUCUUUCACUAGUUGAGCUUCUAGAUCCGUUUUGGAAGGCAAAAACUUCUCAUUCGCACCACUGUCGAACAAAAACUUGUCCUUUGUCAAAACUCCAUCAUCAAUACAGAUAUCCUUGACAACAUGAUAUGUACUCUCUUUAUAACAAACUACCAAUUCAGGCAAAUUACACUCCAUCACACUUCUAUCCAAAUAAAAAACCGAGUCCUGAAUUGAAUCCAUAUUCUUUGAGAAAUGAGAGUUUGAUCUCACGAAAUCUGUGACCUCCAUUUCGUUGUCAAAGGAAAAGUCAUUUACACUCAAGCAAGACUCCGUUCUGAUUUUCCUUCGGCUUUUAGUCCAACCAAAUCCAGAGGCUUUUCUUUGUUCUCAAAAGAUUCGCUUUGUUCUCAAAAGGUUCUAUGUCAACCGAGUAUGAAUAAGUCUCUAAGUCACUCUUGUAGCCUAUUGUUGAAUAGAAGGGCACUUGCUCAUUAUCUGCAAGUACAAUAAAAUAUUCAAUAAAACCUGUGACCUUCGUAUGUAAACGAUCAAAUAUGUCGAGCAGAAUAAAGGACAGCAACAUCUAUUCUUUACCAAAAGUGCCCGCUACUUACAGGAUGAGUUAUCAACCAAAUAUCUUAAAUAGCGAUUCAUGUGGAAGAGAUAGGCUACAGAGACCAAAUCGACAAGAAGGAAAAUUAACGAUGGUGUUAUUACUAAGUUCUACCAGCUUUGUGGUAACCAAGAUUUAUGUCUUGCACUAGAAAGCUACUCUGUACAUGAAAUCUAGGACAAGUUUGAUCAGCAACAAACUCAAAUUAUUCAAGUUCGCAGAAAACAGAAACAGCAACAAGCAGACAUAUUAAACAUAAAGUUGCUCGAAGAGGAUGGAAUAAGAACAUUUCACCAAGACAAAGCAGAUCAUAUGAUCAAUUGAAAGUUGGAAACCACCAUGUCAUGAUUUUUGUUUAACUAAAUUAGUCGAAAAGGAAAACAACCAUCCACCUCCAUGGAAGCACAGAAAUACAUGAAACCAAACAAGGAGUAAAGAGCUCAUAUUAACCUAGCAGCCUUAACCCGGAAACUAAUCAAUAUCCAGAGAUUAAGACAGAAGGCAAAAGAAAAAGGAUAGACUUCAAAAGAAAAGCUAAAUUAUAGCAGUGCUGAGAGAAUGAUAAAACCAAAUUACAACAACCAUGUAAUUCAAGCUCAUUCACUAGCUUAGAAACCAACAACUAUCCAAUUCUAUGCACUACCUAAAAGUGCAAAUAGUAUCCAAUUAAAUACAGCAAUAAAGUGCAAAAAGUAAUAUUCACAAAUAAAUUGCUCCAUCACCAAAAACAUUUCAGCUCGAGGGGAAUCUUCCUUUAGUCAGUACUCAAAAUACAAAAAGACAAGACUCAAAAAAGUUUAUUAGGGGAAAAAAGCUUACAUAAACAUUCAACCACUAAAUUAUGACUCAAAAGUUCAAAAGCUGAUUUUAAAACCCCCCACAUAAACCCUUUCCAUCUGUUGUAUUUUCUAGCUUUAACCAGAUCUAGUCCAUUAUAAUUGGUUAUAAGAAAACCCCAGAUUUAUUUAACUUCAAAUACAUGAAAAAGCUGCAGUAAAAAACAAAAGGAGAGAAUGUCAAAGAUCUAAAGCAGAUCCCAACAAAUACAAAAAGAAACAAUCAUACAAAACAAAACAUUAAAAUAAGUUACAGUUUGUUUGUUUGUACCUUUUCCUCUCUGUGAUUUGGAGCAUGAACUUUCACCAAUCUUCACUGCAAAAGAGCCAAGAGAAAAAACGUUAUAAAUGAAACAAAGGGGGAUCCUUAGGGAAAAGAAGAGCCUCCAGGUUAGGGGUUUCUAAAAGAAGAAGCUUUGGGUGCUUCCAAGAGGCCUUUUUAACAACAACAAAGUAAAGUGCAAAAGCAAGGCAAAAGAGUAGAAAAUCUAAAUUAAUACAAAAAUUAAAUGACAUGCAACUAUCGAAACAUAAACGUAAUAAAAAGUGUCAAAAUCAAAACAUCACACUUAUAUCAUGAACCCAAAAAAAAACCAUUUUUUCUCUCUUGGGUUUAGAGUUUUUGAGAGAUUCCAACUGCCACAACAACCCUUUAUUUAUUAGGUUCAGUUUUAGCAUUAACUAUACCACCCCAUUUUUAGAACUAUAAUAACCGCACUGACAACGCCACCCUACCUGUUCACUUUCUCAGGAAAAAAGAAAAACGAAAUUUUCCUUCCUACCAAACAGCUGCCUCAACAAAAUGCAUGAGAAAUAAAAAUGUUUUACUCUUUCCUUUCGACUUUUGUUUUCUUGGAUGCUGACACAAAGAUAUAGAAGAACCUCAUCAGCUCUCUUCUUUGAAGUCAAAGGAGCUUUGUUUAUAUAUAAAGUAUAAACUGCAAGUGCGAGUCCACUGAAGGUGAUGACGGUGACGAUGAUUCAAGUUUAAACGUGUUGGUUUUUAAUUGGAUAUGUUGAGCUGUCUGUUUUGGCGUCGGUCCCCUUCUUGUCUAGUUUAAUCCUCUCCAUUUUUCCCCAGGUCAAACCCUCUAUUGUCUCCUCUCCCCAAAAUGAUCCUCCACAACCGUUUUCAUUAUAGAACCAAGGGCUCGCCAGUUGGAUUAGAUUUACUGGUCAUGAUUUUUUAAAACAUGUCCUCCAUUGUUACCGAUGUUUUUGUCAAUCAGACCGGUAGUUGAUCCCAUCAUGUUAUCGAAUGAUUCAAUUUUAAUAGUUUAUCUAAUUUCAUUAAAUAAAUUAUUACAAUAUAGAAAGAAAAUCGAUUGAAUUUUCGAUUCAAUUAAUUUGUAUUGGUUCGUAAAUGAAUUAGUUCAACCUCUUUGUCGGAGCUAGUGUAUUGAUAAACUAUCAGUCCCAAUCAACUAAUCUAAUUCGAUUCUAACAACUUUGAACACUAUGUAAAUUAUUUAGAUUAAGUUAAAAUAUGUUCUAAGCCUUUAUACUCUUCAUAAUUUUAGAAUUUACUCAUUGUAUUUUUACUUCUAGAAAUUUAGUCUCUACAUUUUUUAACUUUCAAAAUUCAAGCUCAUUUGUUAACACUAUUAAUUUUUUGUUAAAUUUGUUAGUGUGGCCGUUUAAGAUUUAAAAAAAUACUUAUUUGAUAGCAAUGUAACUGAAAAAUGAUAUUAUAAUGAACCUAAAUUUAACCGUGUUAAUAGUUGGACAUGAAUUUUAAAAUCUGAAAAAAGAGACUAAAUUCCUAAAAUUAAAAGUAUAAAAAUUAAAUUUUAAAUUAACAAAAAGUGUAGGGACUUAUAACAUAUUUUAACCUUUAAAUUACAAAAGCAAAAAUACUAUAAAAGUCAUACCUACUUCUUUUGGUUUUUUUUAAGAAAAAUAAUUGAACUGUGACUUGAUUUAAUUGUCAAGGUAUUGAUAUAUUUAUUUUUCAAGUUAAAUCUUAUAUUUUCUAUGUUAGGGUGAGAUUUUGAAAUUAUAUUUCGGAUUUUAAAGAUUACUUUGAAUAGAUAAUUUUAUAUUCUGAUAAGAUUAAGUAAUAUAAAAAUAAUUUUAAUUAUGUCUCUUCUUUAUAGAGUAUAAAUUCUCACAGUAAUGUUGAUUUUUUCUUACAAUUUUACCAAUUAUUUUUAGGGAGUGUAAAAUUCUUAUGAUAAUGUUGAUAUUUUUGACAAUUUUAUCAUUUUUUUUUUAUAAAUUUAGUAAGUUGCAACUAAUUUUCUUUUUCUUCUAUUAUUUUUAACAUUUUAAUUAAUUUUAAAUCAGAUGGAAUUAAGUAACUAGUUUAAUAAGAUUUGUAUAUUUUUAUCAAACUGAACUGACUUUAAUUAUCUAAAAAUUUCAUCCCUUGAUCACCUCCCAAAUCCCGAAGAGAAAUAAUUUCAAAAUAACUUCAACUUUGUUGAGGAUUAAUUCAAAGUAGUGGGUUGUUUAGUUGACCAAGUAUUUCGGUAGAAUUUUUGUUAGUUUCAGAUUUUCAGUUUAAUUGAAUAAGUUGUUAGCUAUUUUUGUGUUAAGGUAGUUUCUUUGUAAGCUUAUAAAUAUAGGCAUUUAUGUUUUGUUUAAUAAAUUCAGUGUUCAUCAAUAAUAGAAUAACUUUGAUGCAUAUUGUAAUUGUCUCUUUCAUGUUCCUUUCUUCAACAAAUUUGAUAUCAGAGCAAGGUUUGAUCUUUUAGGCAAUUGACUGAAAGAUUUGGGUCCACUGGGUAUUUGAGAGAAAUACCUUUUUGGGUCUUUGGGAAAAACGAGAGAAGAGAAUGUGUGUUCUUGGAAUGGCAUCUACUAGUUUUUCUUCCUCUCAACCACUCAUACCCAUUUUUAAUGGUGAGAAAUAUGAGUGGUGGAGCAUCAAGGUGAAGACAUUGCUCAGAUCACAAGAGCUAUGGGACUUGGUAGAGUACGGGUUCGCUGAUAUACUUGAACCUGAUGAAGAAGAAGAAAAAAGAUUGAAAGAAACCAAGAAAAACGAUGCUAAGGCAUUGUUCAUUAUCUAGCAAGCGGUUCAUGACUCUAUUUUCUCACGAAUUGCUACAGCAACCAUAUCGAAUGAAGCAUUGUCAAUUUUGCAGAAAGAGUAUCAAGGUGAUUCAAAGGUUAUAGUGGUGAAUUUGCAAUUACUACGACGUGAUUUUGAAACCUUGAUGAUGAAGAAUGGUGAAUCAAUUGUUGAUUUUUUGUCACGAACAAGGACAAUAGUCGACCAAUUGUGCUCUUACGGUGAACAAAUUUCAAACGAGAUAAUUGUAGUGAAAGUUUUGUGAAGCUUGACGACAAAAUUUGAUCAUGUUGUGGUUGUUAUAGAAGAAUCCAAAGAUCUGUUAGUUCUCUUUGUUGAUGAACUAAUGAGGACUCUUUAAUCUCAUGAGGUGAGAAUCAACAGAUCAGUAGAAAAGAGUGAAGAGCAGGUAUUUCAAGUAUAGGAAACAUUCAUAAAUCAAGGCAAUAAUGACCGUUCAACAAACAAUGAUCAAGGAAGAGGAGGAUUUCAUUGUGGUCGUGGCCAUGGUUAUGGUAGAGGCAGAGGAAGGAAUGAUGGACAAAGGCAAUACAAUGAGCAAGGUAACAUAAAAUAUGGUAUAAAAUGUUAUCAUUGCAACAUAUAUGGGCAUAUAAAAGUUGAUUGCUGGUAUAAGGAUCAAAAAAUUAACUUUGCAGCAGAAAGUGAUGAGGAAAACAAGCUUUUUAUGGCUUGUAUUGAUGUUAACCAUAAGCCAAAUGAUUUGUGAUUUGUGGACAAUGGUUGUUCGAAUCAUAUGAUAGGCACCAAAUCCUUGUUCAAGGUGCUUGAUGUGUCACAAAAGAUAAUGGUGCAGCUUGGGAACAAAAGGGAGAUGCAAGUUGAAGGAAAAUGCACGGUGAAAUUUUUUACUAGCCAUGGAGAAGGAAAAAUUUUGGGCAAUGUUCAAUUUGUUCCUGAUUUAGGAUACAAUUUAUUGAGUGUUGAACAACUAAUGGUUGGUGGAUAUUCUAUCAUAUUUGAUGAUGAUGCAUGUAUCAUCAAAAAUAAAAGGUCAGGCAAACAAGUCCAUGUCCACAUGACUCCAAACAAGAUGUUUUCGUUGGAUGUUUCAAACAUGGAGAGCUUUGUUCUUGCUGCAAGUGCAAAGGAUGACUAAAAGCUAUGGCAUUUGAGGUAUGGACAUCUCAAUAUUAAAGGCUUGAAAUUGCUAAGUGAUAAAUGUAUGGUUCGUCGACUACCAAAAAUUGGCUCUCUUUAUUUAUAUAAGAGGUGCAUUUAUGAAGCAGCAAAACGGGUCUUGCGGUACAUUGCUGGAACUUUGGAGUAUGACAUUUGGUACUCAAAAACUUCAAAUUUUAGAUUGUGUGGGUUCACAGAUAAUGAAUGGGCAAGUUCUUUAUCUGAUAGAAGAAGUGUAUCAACAAAUGUUUUCACUCUAGGUUCAAGGGUGAUCACUUGAAGUUCAGCUAUUUAGAAGUCUACUUGGUGUCUGCAACUUUGAAUUAAAGGAGAGUGUUGAGGAUUAAUUCAAAGUAGUGGGUUGUUUAGUUGACCAAGUAUCUCGGUAGAAUCUAUGUUAGUUCCAGAUUUUCAGUUUAAUUGAAUAAGUUGUUAGCAGUUCCAGAUUUUCAGUUUAAUUGAAUAAGUUGUUAGCUAUUUUUGUGUUAAGGUAAUUUCUUUGUAAGCCUAUAAAUAUAGGCAUUUAUGUUUUGUUUAAUAAAUUCAGUGUUCAUCAAUAAUAAAAUAACUUUGAUGCAUAUUGUAAUUGUCUCUUUCACGUUUCCUUCUUCAGCAAACUUAAGAAUAUUGGAAUAAAAAUACCUUUUGGUGGUUGCAAAUAAUGGUGUGCUUUUUAUAUACUAAAAAUUGAAUAAACCAAACCUAUUUAAGUGAGCUCAAAAUUUUGGUUUGUUUUUAUCUUUUAUAUAAUGAAAAUUGCACAACCACCGUAUAAACUAGACCAAGGACAUGGGUGAAAUUGCCAGGAAGAGAAAAAGAAAGUUGGUGGAAAAAUAAAGAGAGGAGAGUUAGUGGAUGGUGGGCUAUGGUGGCUACAAGCUUGCUUCAUGGCAGUGGCUUCAUUUUGGGCUUGUGGGGUCUAAGAGAAUGGGAGAAUAAUGAGAUUUUUUUUUUUUAUGUCAGUUUAACAUAUCCAUGCACACGUAACUAAUAUUACAUUCCUAUGUUUAAGAUUUGAUCCUUUUAUGCAAAUAGGAAUAUGUUUAUGAUUUUAUCAGACUAUGCAAAUAGGAUGAAAUACGUUGAAAUUUAAAGCUUGUUGGAUAAAAUAUGUUGUGAUGUACUCCUCCACUUUCUAAACUCCUUUUCUUCAUGAUGCUUAGGUUGCCUUUGUGUUUCUUGUUCGUUUCAUUGGUUGCAGCUCUUCAUCUCAGGCUUUAUACAAGAGUUACGAUAAAUCAACGGAUUGUUAGAAUUAUUUUUCUGGCGGGUUGGUUUUUAAUAAUAAGUUUUUAAGUGAGCUAAAAAUGUAAUUUUAUCAUUGUAUUAAUGUAAAAUUUUACAAAUUUUAAGAAAAUAAACUAUAAACUCUUUAUUUUUAGAGAGGGCAUAAUUUAAUUUUAAAAUUUAAGAGGAUCCAAAAUGCAAUUUUAUCAAUUUAUAAAAUUUUCCUCGGGGGAUUAGGGCCCUUGCCUGCCCCCCUCUAGCUUCACCCUUGGUUCACACUAAUAAUUGUUAUAAAACGGAAUCAAAUUGAAAGAGUGAUUGUGUUGCUCAAGGCGUGAUUAGCAUUAUCCUUAAGGAUAUUUCACAAAUAACGUAACUUCGGAAUUCAACAAAUACUUUCGUUUCUCAAGAACAUAUUAAUAAGGAAGAAGGCAAAAAAGAGAAGAAUACUCGAAAUUAAAUAUUUUAAAAGACUAACAAUGCAAAAAUGUGUUGGCGUAUGGAGGGAGAAAUCAAACGAUUUGCACUCGGUUGAGCUUUUGGGCUCAAUUCUCAUGUACACAUGUUCACCUUCCAAUUUCUACUCUUAUAAAUCUAAUUUCAAGUAAUGUUAUAUAAAUAAAAUUCACGAGGCUUCACAAAGAGAUGUGUGAUUGUUUGAAAAUACACUACAUUAUCUAAUCAAGUUAUGAUUCAUCUCGGCCUGUCAACAAGUUUGGUGUGCUAUGGUGGCUUUUCGUGCCACUUGACAUGGCCAUUCUCAAAAUAGCAUCCAUGUAUCCUGUUGCAGUUUCAAAGCCGUGUUUUUCGCAUGUACUCCAUCUUUCUUUUGAUGAAAAAUUCCUUUAAUGAAGUUGGAGUUUAUAGUAUUUUAGAAGCACCGGAGUAACUUUGAUUGCCACUUUUUCUCUUCGUUUCAGUCACUCAAUUGAAUGGGGAAAGGGAAACAGAGUCCGUAUUUUGUUGAGCCAUUUUCCAUGAUCCCAUGGAAAAGCCUUCACUUUGAGCUGUCACAUAACCAAGGACUUGCACAUUUAUGUUUCUUACUGUAUUAAAUAAACAAAGUACAACUAUAUGACUCUUUUUUUAUUUAUUUAAAUAAUGGUCUAUCCAGAACGAUAAAACCAGCCAAAGACAGCACAAUCUCCCUUGUCUGAAUUGGACAAAGUGAGGAGAGCAUGUUGUGGUGGGGGGACAACACCAAAUCUGCUGAAUUCUGCCAUCUUUUUGUUGCCUCCCAUUCAAUUUCCAUUACAUAAAUGGACAAAACCCCAUUUGCCUUUUUCUAAAUUGCAAACCAUCGUACCCUUAUUAAUUGUACUUUAAGAUAAAACGAACUAUUAAUCAAUAUUGUUGUAGCACUUGGAUUUUAAUAUAUGGGUCCGUACCACUAAUUUAUACCAUCAAUACUGGUCAUGUUUUUCUUUACGAUUUUAAUGAAAUAAAACUAGAUAUUUCUGUAACCCAACAAUUACUCCAUUUGUGCUUCCAAAGGUCAUAUGUUUAGCACAAAACGCAUACCAUUUGAGCAUGCUUAGCUUCAUCCAGCGGCUAUAAUGAAGUCAAUGAUGUAGCAGUAGUAGUGUUUUUGCCCUUGGAUUUUGUUCCUGGCAACCAAAGGCAUCUUGGCAAAUUGUGCAACUUUCAUAGUGGCCAAAUCAGUUCUGGCCAUUGUUUUUAUUUGAUAAAAGAAAAGCAUAAUAACUUAUUAAAUUAUUUUAGUUUUUCAUUUAAUUUUUUUAAUUAUUGAAUUUGUAUUAUUUGUGAAAUGACUAUUAAAAUAAAUGGAAAUGUUAAUAUUUAUUAACUUUACUAAUGUAGCAUUUAUGUGGCUAUGCACGUGUACGUUAUGUUAACAAUUAAUUAAUUUUAAAAAAAUUAAAUAUAUAUAAUUUUUUCCUUUUUAAUAAUUUUAAAAAAUUAAUUAAUUGUUAAUGUGAUAAUAACAAGUUAAAUGAACGACUAAAAUAACUUUUUCAUCUAUUUUGAGAGUGAUUUGACAGAAAACGCAAGUUCAAAUGCUAAAAGAAAAAAAGAUUAAAUGGAGAACCAAAAUUACUUUUUCUAAAAAAUAUUGGAGGGACAAAUAAGUCAUCAUGUCAAUUUUUAAUAUGAGUUUUUUUUCUUUAACUUUUUUUAAAUUGGUAUUUUUCAUUAAGUAUUUUCGAAGCAAAAUUUUGAGUAAAUAAUUCAAUCUUUGGUGGUAUUUUUAUUAAUAUCAAAAAUUCUAUCAUAUACAUAUGCAUAUGAAAAUUAUGUAUUUAGAGAUUAGACGUGUGUUUGAAAAUAACAUACAAUAAAUAAUUAUACGUAUAGUUUGAAACUAAUUAAUAAUUACACAUAAAAUAUGUACAAUAUUAAAAUGAAAAAAAUAUAUCAAAUUGUGAAUAAAACAAAAUUUGAACACAUAAGUACAUCAAAAUUAAUAAUACUAAAUGAGUACAAUUAUUAUUAUGGUGUUGUCAUCGGUCCCAAUUUGGUGCCGAGUUAAUUUAUGACAUUAACUCAAUCAACAACAUUAAUAAUAAAUACAAUUGAUGAAAGUAAUAAAGUUUGCAUAAUAAAAUUAAAAUGUAUAAAAAUUGAAAUAAAAAUUUAUAAUUUUUCUAAUGCAAUUGGAUGAGUACAAAUCUCAUCAUAUUCAUAUUUUUUUAAUGUUUUUUUACAUAAAAAGAUUAAAGUAACUAGGGGCGAAGUCAGAAAAGAUUUUUUGAGAGGACGAAAUUAAAUUGUAUAUUUUUACGAUAGUAAACAAUGUAAUUUCAUCAUUUUAAUAGUCUAUAUUUUUAUGAUUUUAAAUGAUUAAAUCAAUUUUAUCAUUUUUUGGAAGAGCCAAAGUACAUUUUGACUAUUACUAAUUUAAAAUUUUAUAAUAAAAAAAGUCUAAAUGGAAAUAUUUUCAUUUUAGGGAGAAUCUCUGCUAACCCCUAACUUCAUUUUUGAAAAUAACCUCAAUAAUAUAAUUUAUUUUAAAUACAAAAUAUUAUUUUAAUAAUUUUUCUAUGUUAGUGUUAAAUAAACUUAUAAUUUUAAUUCAAUAUAAUAUAGAGGUGAAAAUAUUAGCAAGGGAAGGAAGAAUGGAGAGAGAGGACCACACACAACACAAGUGGAUGUCUUAAAUGUGUCUCUUUCAGUUAGAUAAAGAGUGUUUGAUUUGGGUGUAAAUGAUUAAAUGCGGAUUUCAGGACCAGCACCGGGAUUGACUGUGGGGCGGGGCGUUAUCUACAUCUACGCUACAAAUGACGGCUAAUGGGCCUUUCCCUGUUCACUAUUAUGCGCCCUAUCAUUAUUACGCAUUUAAAACCCUCCUAAUUCUAAACCUUUCAAAAUUAUUUCUAACUUUUAUUUCAAAAAAUUUAGAUUUAAUUGAUUUAAACCAUUAAUUUAAUUUAAUUUUAAAAAUAGUAUUUAAAUCAUUACUUUGUUGUAGGAAUAUAUUAAAUUAAAUAUUUUUUUAAAAUAAUAACUUUUCUCUCUCUAAUUUCAUAAUAUUUUUAAUUGGUUGAAACUACCAUUAAAAUAUUGACUUUAAUUUUUUUAAAUAUUAAUAUUAUUAUUUUACUUUCACCAUAUGCCCCUACAUGUCUCCUUUAAUGGUGUGUCAUACGAUGGCAAACUUUCCACCUUUCACAAUAGGCGAACCUCUGAGCUAAACAAGUUUGGCGAACCUUGUAUCACGCUAUAGUGGCAAACUUGUAUAAGGUGAUCUUCACUAAACAUGCAUAGGAUACAAGUAGGGGAGAUAGACUUAUUGAUUACCCAGCAGUCUUAAGAAGUCAUAUCUUAGGACAUCACAUCAUCGUCACUAGAAGAGAAUGAAACAUGACUUUACUGUCAACAAUCUCUAAACAUGUAAACAUCCAUGUUCCUCAAUAUAAAAGCUCAAGAUAGGAAUUGAAGAUAACUAAGUUCCUUUCCAAAUUUCAUUCCCCUCCUUCUAAAGAUCUAUUAGCUAAAAUACCCAAUUAAUAUUCAGUGGCUCUUCGCCUUAAUCUCAAGUGAACCACCAUCCAUCACUUCACCCUUUUGUUAAUCGAGCUAGUUAACAGUUUUAAAAAUAAAGAAUUAAAUUAUGAUAAAUUAAAUGAUAAAAAUUAAAUCUUAAAUUUGAACAUGCUAAAAUGACUAAAAUAAAAAUUCAACCAAUAUAUUUGGCUUCAAAAUUCCUUUAACCCUUUGAGAAUUCCUCUUUUAUAUGUCAUUUUUUGUUUAAAUUUUCAUUAUUCUCAUCCUGCCAUUAAAAGGGCGAGACUAAAAUUUAUUUUUUUAAUUUAUUAAAUUAAUGCUUGAUAUUUUUAUUAUUAUUCUCGCCAUCUAACAUGGCGAGAACAUUGUUAGAGAAAAAAUAUAUUAUUAUUUUUCUAAAUAAGAAAAAGAUGUUAUGAAAUAAAUAAUAAAGAAGAUAAAUAACAAGAAAAACAUGAGAACAAAGAGAAGUAUGAAUUUUAUUAAUCAAAUAGGGAUGUUUACAAUGCUUCUCUAAAGUCUAUAUUUAUAAACAUAAUAAGUAUAAUUGAAAUAAAACUCUACUUCUAAUGAAUAUUAGAGUCCUAAAGUACAUUAAACUUAUAUUGAUCUUGAUGAGCAUCCACUUAAUAAUAAAAUAUUUAUAACACUCCCCAUUGGAUGUUCAUUGGUAGAUAAUAUGUCUCAUUAAAACUUUACUGAGCUAAAAACCAAUCUUAGUGAAGAAAAAAGAGUACACUUAUCUAUAAAACACACAGUAUGUUACCUCAUAAAAAUCUUACCAAUAAAACCUAGUGAGACAAAACCUCGAUUAAAGGAAAAAGAUGGCAACAUUUAUUUACUCCCAUCAUGAUAACAUCACAUAAUAUCUCAAAUUCUACGUAUUCAAUCUUGAAUACUGGCUUAUCAAAUAAUCACUAUAAAGAAUUUGGUAAACAUUUAUAUCAUCAUUCUUCCAAUGUCAUGAGUGAACAACUUUGAGGAAAUAUAUUUUAAUUUCUUUAGAUGGUUUUAAAAAUAAUCAUAGCAAACUUUGAUUAUGAUCCUUCUAUAAAAAUACAAAUACAAAUUUUAAAUCAUUUUAUAAUCUUCCUUCAACUGCUUUUCACUAGGUCAAAUUUACUACGAAUGUUCAAAUCAUUUCAACUUAUAUAAGUAUUUGCGCAAACAUAUUGAAAAAUUUCCCAAUAAUUUCUACACAUUUCAAACAUUUCCUUCAAAUAUUUUAAUAUAAACUUUCACUCUAUAGUGAUUUAUAUAAAGAUUGUAAUAACAAUCAUAAGACGCAUAUUAAAUCUUUCAUGAACUGCCACAUUAAUAAUAUACCUAAAGGUUGUUGCAUCCAACACAACAAAAUAUCUUUUCAUAACAAUUGUUAGGACUUAGCUAAAAACUUCAUUUUUCUUAUUUUAUUUUCGCAAAAACUACUUAUUUGUACCCCCAUUGGCUUUAUGCCUUUAGACGUUUGGACUAUUGAUCUAGAAACUUCACGAAAUUAAUUAUAUUUAAAUUGCGUUUUCCAUUUUGACCAAUUUAUUCCUUGUCUAUAAUUCUCAACAAAUUUCUUCAAGAUCCUUAUUUUCUUUCAUUAUCUUAAUGAUAAAAAUGCAUGUAAAACCGUUAUCGAUAACUUUUCAUGCAAUAAAAGGUUCAUACACCACAUUAUGCUUCAAGAAUGGAUGUGUUGUUCCAGACAUAAAGGUAUGAACAAGAAUUCUUCUGGGACAUCUUUUUUUUAUUAUGGUCGUUGUAUUGAACAUUUUCAUAAAAUCUCAUUAAGAUUCUUCCUAAUGUUGCUUAAUAGAUAAGAGACAUGCAGGUGAUUGCUUAAACGUCUUGUUUUCUAAGGACCUGCUCAUAAACAGGUCCACUAAUUUCUCAAAGUUCAUAAUAAAGUGUUGUGGUAGCUGUAAAUACCAUGCUUGGGCUAAGACCUUCAACAUCAUAGAAAAUGUUCUACACUUAACUUCACUUGAAGCUCCAAAUAUGUUCAUAUGGUUUACAUAAUGGGCCAAAUGGUCUUCAGGAUCACCUCAGCCAUCAUACAUUAAUUUUGCGAACUUAAAGGUUAGAGAAACAUGACACCACAAUAUUUUUUCAGCUAAAGGUUCAUUUUUAUAUAUUUUUUUCACUAAGCUCAGUGAUUUAACCUUUUGAAAAUAUUGUAUAUGUUUUUCUAACAUUUUUAUUUUUUGUUAAAAAAGUAUUCUGAAUAGAAUAGUUAUAACUAUCAUCAUAAUCUUCAUUAUAGCUAUCAUGCCUAUCAAUAUCAUCUACUAAAUCUUCAUUACCUUGACUUGCAUGUUGACGAUCGUGUUCAAAGUGAAUGGAUUCUUCCCUUCCAUGCUGUGGAUUUUGGUCACAAAUCAUUCAACAAUUCACCCUCCUUACUCUUAACUUCUCAAUAAGUUUUUCAUUUAUUUCAUUUGCUUGUUUUUGUCUAUCCAUUUGUUCCUAGAUAAACUUUUGCUGCUCUUCAUAUAUUUUCUGCUGGGAAGACGUUUAUUCAUCCAUGACUCUUAUUCUUUCUUGCAUGUCCAAAUAGUGUUGACUAUCUAAUUAAUGGUAUUGGGAUCCAUGGUCAAUUGGUGAUGCUCUGAUGUGUUGAUUUUAAGGGUUAUAAUACUAUGGGGGAAUUGGUAAAAUUGUUGGUGUGAGUUUUGCUAGUAGGGAUUUGUUGGUUUUUGUUUUGAAGGUUGGUUUGAUUUUGUGGGUUUGAAUGUUGACCACCAUGCAAAAGGUCUUGAGCUCGAGUUGUUCUAGCUUUCUUUGUGUUUACUUAGGUGUGGUGAAUAAUGGAUCCUUAGGUUUGGUCAUUGGUGGGGGCUAAACUCAGUGUUGGGAGGAUCAUUGACACUUAGGUUAAUUUGUUAUGUUUGUCUACACUCACCGCACCAAUUAUUUACCAGUGAGGUGAACAAAGGAAGAAGACGGUGGCUUAAUGGAGGAAUAUAAGAUGAAGGUUGGGGAAAAGGGUUUGCUUAUGAAAAAGUCUAAGAAUUGAAGAAGAUGGGAAGAAUAAAAGUGUGUAUGAGUUGUUUGCAUCGUCCUUUUCUAGUGCGGCCAAGCUUAGCUACUUGUCUUGAGGCCACUGACAAUGAAGUCUGGUUUGAUACUCUUGCCAACGACAUUUAUGCUAGGUCCUAAGAUAAGAUGUUUUAAGACGACUAACAAUCAAUUACCAUAAGCCUGUAUGUGGUUCUCAUAUAAUCUUAAUGGAGAUGUCUAGUCCUAAUGUUUGUCAGGAUGAGGUUCGCAAUUUAACCCAAAGUCUACUGUGUUGUUCACUUCAUUGAGAGACACAUGUCAAGUUUUCUAUGAAUAUAUUGUCAGAUUUGUGAGGUAUAAUGUGAGAUUCGCUACAAAAGGUAUAACACAUAUCACUCUAUGAUAUUUAUAAAUAAUUACUAAAGUUGUUUUUAAAUAAUAAUGAUGAUUAACGUAGUUAACAUACACUAAUCUUUACUUUAAUAAAAUUCCCAAUUGAUAAAUUACCAAAAACUCAUUCUUUUACAAAAUAAUAUUAUUAUAAGAAUAUUUUUGUCAGGGGUGAAGCGAGAAAAUUAUUCUAGGGGGGCGAAAUUAAAUUAUAAAUUUUACGACAGUAAAAAUACAAUUUCAUCAUUUUAAUAGCCUAUAUCUUUAUAAUUUUUGAAAGAUUAAAUAAAAUUUUUAUCAUUUUUUGGGAGCCAAAGUGUAAUUUUACAUUUAUUAAUUUAAAAUUUUAAAAAUUCUAAAGUGCUUAAAAUGAAAAAAAAAACAUUUUAGGAGGGUCAGGGCCCUACUAACCCCCAACUACGCUCUUAAUUUUUGUAAAUUUAUAUUUUUAUAAAUAAUAAGAAUUUUCAUUUAAUGAGAUUUGAAUUAAUAAUACUAUGAAUUUUAAACUUCGGAUUUUACCAUUUCAAUUAAAUACAAUUUAAUUUUUACAUAAAAUUGAAAUAAAUAUAUUUAUUAGCCGUAAAUGUGGUAUAAUUUAAUAAAUUAAAAAUGUUAUGAGUGAAAGUAACUAAAACUAAACUAAUAUACUGACCCGCCCUUUUCGAUAAACUUAACUGACCCAACAAUAUAUUUUUAAAAUUAAUUAAAAUUUUAAUUCUUUGGGAGUAGGAAAGGUGCACGUGACAUGAGUUAGAGCGCAGGCACGUGAUCAGAAUUACACAUGGAGCUAGCAUGGCUAUCACUCACGCACGAAACCCUUUUUCUUUUACCUCUUAUUUUAUUUAAAAUUAAUUGUUGAAAAGGUCUGUUGGAGUGUCCAAAGGGUCGCUGCCAGUUCAGCGUUACGUUGCUAAAUUAAUUUAUUGCUUUUGGAUAGUUGGUUUGUUAUUAAGAUGGAUAAUUUUUUUAUUAAAUUUGUAUAUAAAUUUUGAUUUUUUUUGUAAAAUUAUAUAAUUUUAAUUUGACAUGUUUUUGCAUAUAUUAAAUUUUAAUUUUAGUUUAAUUUUUACAUUUAAUUAAUUUCUUUUAGUUAUGUGGUAUAAUUUUUUGUUAAUUCGUGUAUAAAUUUUUAACAUGAUAUUUUAUUAAAUUAAAAAAAAACAAUCAAAUGAAUUUAAAUAAUUUUCACCUACAUUUUGAAAAAAAUUUUAAAAAUAUGUUUAAUUUUUUAUAUAAAUAAAAAUAAUUGAUAAAAUAAUUAACAAAUUUUUAUUAAAACUCAUAGUUUAAAGUAUACAUAAAUUGUUUUUAUUAAUAAAAUAAGAGAGUGUGUGUUUUGUUGCCAAAUCCUUGGGGGUGGAGAUGAUUUGGUUUCAACUUUUGACCCCUAUUUUGAGGAAUGGGGUCCUUCUUCUAUGUUAUUAACAAAAUCACACUAAUUUGAAGAACUCCACUAAAUUUGGCUCUUCCUUUUUUAUUUUAUUACUUCAUAUUUCUGUAUGAUCUCCAAUGACUUUUAAUUUCAAUUUCUUCUUCUUCUUUUUUAAUUUGGCAUUCCGAAAAAUUAAAAAAAAUAUAUUGAAUUAAAUAUUUUUAAAGAAAUUGAUGUUUAUUAAGUGAAUGUUCAUUAAGUAGAGUUUUAUUUCAUUUAUAUUUUUCAUGUCUAAAAAUAUAAAUUUUGGGAAAAUAUUGUAAAAAUCCCUAUUUGAUUAUUAAAAUUUAUACUUCUCUUUAUCCUCCUGUUUCUCUUGUUUCUUAUCUUCUUUAUUAUUUAUUUCAUAACACACGUUAUCAAACUCUAAAUUUUUUAUAUAUUUUUUAAGCUCUUUGACCACUGAAAAAACAACGGGAAUCAAACUUAGGCCUUGCUAUCGUCCCACCUUUUCUUAAUUGCUCAACCACUCAAGUUUUACUGUUAUUUUGAGUCUUAUAGCCUCUAGAGACGAACAAAAAAGCAAAGCAAGCGCAACAAGGGUUUGAAACUGCAACCUUCAACAACUCUCCUCACCAUUGAGGAUUUAGACACAAUAUGUUGAAAAUUGUAGGAAGUUUAUGUAUAGGUUAAUUUUUCUUUUUUUUAUUAACUUAUUUUAUUUCUAUUUCAAGGAUGAUGAUAGAUUUGAUUUCAACAUUGAUUUUGGUUUUUGAUCUUACACUUAUCAAGCAAAAUUUAGAUUGGUAAGAAGUUUUGAAAUAUUUUUAGUUGAGGUUUGAUUCUAAUUAUUGUUAUAUUUUAAAAUUUUAAUUGAAUUAUUAAGUUAGAUUAUUAAAUGUGGGUGGGUUCAUAAGGCUUACUAAUGAAUCUUUUUAUAAUAUAUAUUUUUAAAUAAUUGUUUAUAAUGAAAAAAAAAGGGUCGUAUAUUAAUAUUCUCUACUUAUUUAAUACUUUUAAAAAACUUGAGUUUUGGUAGAAAUAUAUCAAUAUUAUGUUUUUUUUUAUAUUUGAGUACAUAUUAUUUUCUUAUCAAAUGUUUCUUGUUUAAAUAUAUAUUACAUUGAUUGUUGACUCAACUAUUUGUUUUUAUUAUAUUCUUCCCCUUUAAAGAGAUGUUUAGAAGUUUGUCCUAAUAGAUCUGUUGUAUUUCCGAAAGUGAAUGCAAACAUAAAAAAAAUUGAACCAUAUGAUAAUGGUUGUUAUAAGCAGCAUAAUAAUAAUAACCACUAGAAAUGGAAAUAUGAUAAUAAAUAAGAGAAUAAUGAGAGUUCUCAAGAUAACCUUAGAAACGGAAAAUAUAAUUUAUGUUAUCAAUCUUAUAUGAAAGAUCAUUGGUCAUUUGCCUGUCAUAUGCCCAAAUAUUUUGUAACAAUGAACGUCAUCCCUAUAGUAGAAAGUAUUUAUCUUAUUUAGUACUACAGCAAGCCAAUUUAAUGCAAUAUUUGGCGAUACAGAAUUAGUUGAAAGCUCCUGGAGAGCUAAUAUAUUUAUACUUGGUGUAUCAAAAUUUGUGAUUUAAUGUAAUUUCAAAGAAAUUAUGAAGUUUUCAAAUAUAUUUAUUGUAGUGGAUCUUAUAUUGAGAUUGUGAACGAGGAAAAUAUAUACCUAAUAUGAAUCACUAUUACUAUAAAUAUCUAUAUCUUUUGAUAGAGAAAGAUUCAGUCAUUGAAUUAUAUUAUACAUGAUACUUGGAUACCUAUCUUUAUUUUGAAAAGGAUAGUGGAAGAUUGGGUUUUGCAAGAUUCACUUGAACUGUAGAUUAAUUUAAGAGAGAUAUAUAACCAUCGGAAUACGGUAAAUUGAUCUAAAACUCAUUAUGAUUAGAUGCACUUAAAGUUGCAAUAUUUUGAAUUUGUAAGUCCGUAUAACUCUACAUUAUUUAAGACGAAUUCUCAAUUAUGUGGGAAUAAUAUUACUAAUGAGAACUUGUUAGAGAAAACUUUUCAACUUUUCAUUUUUCAAAUGCAAUACCAUGAAAAAUGUUUUAAGAUAUAUUAUGAAUUAAUGUCAUGUUUACUUAUGGCUAAAUUAAAAAAUGAUCUAUUAAAUGAGAAGCCAUAAAGCCUAUUGUAUUAGAUCUGGUACAUUCCUUGAAAUGAAUAUAGCAAUAUAUAAAGACGUAAUCUUUUGUAACAGUCCAGUUUUAGCUAAAUCGGAACAGUGGUUUUAGAACCACAAAUCCGAGGUCGUAAAAUUAUUUUUAAUAUUAUUUUUGGUAUUUAUAGUAUGUUAUUUAAUAUGUGUAAAAAAUUUCGUGAUUUAAUUUUACCGAUUGGUUAGUUAAUUUGAUAAAAUGACUUAAUCACGUAAAAUACAAAAGUUGCAUACUAUUUGUUUAAAGUGCUUAAUUGCUAUGAUUAAUUAAAUUAUAUUUGUAUUUGCUAUGUGAUGAGUAUGCUAUGUCAUGUGAAUUUGGAUAUUUGGUGACCUAUGUUUUGAUGUAUAAAUUGCCUUGUAAGUUAUUCUGUAAAUGAUGAAAAUUGCUUUGAUCAUUAGGUGAGAUAAAUUAUGAUAUACAAAUAUAUAUGAUGCAUAUUUAUAUUCGGCUAUGGUAUUUGGUUCAUUUUAAUAAGCAUGAGAUUUUGAUAUUUGGUAAUGUAUAAAGAUUAUAUUUAAACAUUUGUUAAUGUUUGCUAAUGAAUCAUAUUUGGAUAACUAAUAAAUGGUAUAAUAUAAUUUGUUAUUUUUAUAAUAUAUAGCAUGGACAAAUAAAUAAGUUAGGUCCAAACUUUUUGUCAUAAUUUUUUAUAAAUAAAUAUAUUAUAAAACUUAAACUAUUUUUGUUAACAAACAUUUUAGCUAUAACUUAAAAAAGUUAGGAUUUAAAUAAUAUAUAUUUUUAUAACUUUAUAAAAUACACAAAUUAUAUUUAUAAUUUAACUUUUUAGGAUUUAUGAUAUAAUAAAAAUUUGACCAUAACCAUUCCAAACACUCACACAUGUUUAUACUUAUAAUAUAAAAAUAAUUUUUAAAAUUAAAUUUGGGUGUAAUUACCUGCAUAACUAUUUUCAUUCUCAUCCUCUCUUAAGAAUUGAAAAGUGUAAUUGGGAUGCUUUAAUUAUACUUAAUUCGAUGAGACCCAUUGAUUACCUAAAUAUAUUAGGUCCAAAUUCAAUUACUAAAUAACCAUUUAAACAACAUGUAAAAUUUUUAAUAGUAAAUUAAUAGGAACAUAAUCUGUGUAGGGAUGUUUAACCCUGAAUAAAGCGAACUUGCAUGAGUGGUCGGGGCCUUAUCUUUGAAUUUCCCUUUUGAGGAAAUUUAUGUCGGGUGUAUUAAUUGUUAGAAAUAUAAAAUCUCUCUGAGGUUAUAUGAAUUAAGUUUGGGAUGAGAUUAGACUUUAUACAAGGAAAUCAAUGAUAAAAAAAAAAGAAGAAAAUUGAGAAAAAGACCAAAAAGGAAAGUUAGUCAAUGAUGGUUAAUAAAGGAAAGAAACAAAAUGAAUAAACUUAUUUCCCGAUAUUAUUUAGAAUAAAUCCAAAAUUUGAUCAACUAUUUAGUUUAUGAUUCCAUACAGAGGUUCCCACUCCUUUAGACCUUAAACCCUUAUUAAUGUUGCCUAAUUUAGAUAUAUAGAUGUUACACCAUUUGAGAACGUUUUGAUAUUAUCCUAAAAGUUUUAAAGUGGAGAUAUACAAAGACGUUGGUUGGAUAAGCUUAAAACUAAUUUUGUAAAUUAAUUGAAUUUGUUGGUAGAAUGCUUGGAGGUGAUGCUUUGAGUGAUGAGGUUAUGGAAGCUUUUUAAAAGAACGAUUGUUUCUUCUUAUUGGAGGAGAGAGUUAGUUUGACGUGAACCCUUUUAAACAUAUGUCGUUUUCUGUAAGGUUGGUAGUAAGGCUAUGAGUGUCCUAUCAAGAUGUGAUUUGAUAAUAUUGUAUAGAUCUAAUAGUAAAGUUAUAAAGAGACUUUCAAAUGAGUCCUAAUGAAACUCAAUUUUAGAUCAUGAUAGUAACUCAUAUGAGAAAAAUUGGUUAAUCUUUAGUUGGGCGAAUACCUCCUUAACUGUAGUGAGGAUUCUAAAUGAAGUAAUUAAGUGUAAAAUAAUUAAAACUCAAAAAUUCAUUUCCUUCGCAUUAUGAAAACUAUUCCAUUAGACAACACAACAUAAAACUAUAAGGUUCCUUUUUUAAAGUUUACAAAUAUAUCCAAAGUACAAAUACAAUUACACGUUGGAGCACCCAUAAAGUGUGGAAUCAAACUAUUAUAGAAUAAAUGGGUUAAUAAGUGUAAAAUUAAACAAUUACAACAUAAGAAGACUAAGAAAUAAAAUAAUCUACACUAGAACUGAUUAAUUGAACUAAAACUGACAUAAAUCAACAGUAUAUGGCAAGACUUGGAGACCCACAUAUUACACAUAAUGAACCUCGAACUUGGAUAUUCAAAACAUAGAAUCUCUGCAUUCACUAUCUAUGCUGAGACUUUAUUGAGAACUAUAAAUGUAAUUGAUACAUGUCAAUAUUUAUAAUUUUCAUCGAUAAUUUAAGCAAAAUUCACUUUAAAGUAAAAUUAAAUAUAUAGAAUAAAUUUAAACCACUUGCCUUAAUCUCUAUCGGUAAGAAAUAAAUGUAAUAAAUGAAAAUAAAAUCACGUUUUUCUUAAUGUAGAUAUGGUGGGUUGAAUUAGGCUGAAAUGCAACCUUUUUUGUAUUAAAAGGCUAGGGUUUAGGGAAUUUAAGACAGCCUUAAAUUUAAAAAACCAACCAGCCUCAACAAGACAGCUAAGUGAAAGUAAACUCCAUAAACCUUGGAAGAUCAAAAUCGACUGUCUAGUUCAACUCAGCUUAAAUUUAAACACGUGGGCUAAUGCUUUCAAUUACUUCCCUAAGAAUGCACUAUUCGCAAAAAUCGCGAUAUAAUAAAUAAUGUUUUUGAUUAUUUAAAAUUGAAAGGAAUAUUAUAAAUAAUCGAUUUGAAUUUAUUGAUUUAGUUCGGUUUAAGUCUUUUUAAAGCUUAAAAAAUCAUUAUUUUAAAUAUUUUACUAAUUUAGAAAUAAAAAAAUGCAUACAAAGAUUAACUCAUAUAUAAAAAAAUAAAUUAAAUUGGUUUAGAUAAUUAUAAAUAAAAAAUCCAAUAAACUAAAUAUAAUUAACAAAACAAAACUGAAUCCAGAUCAAAUUGAUUUCAAUUUUGUUUAAAGUACGCCGUCGUGUGUCUUUGCUAACGUACGCCUUCCUCUCGGGGUUACUUUUUUACAAAAUUGCAGGUUUUUGGAGCAUCGUGUCGGGGUGUGUCUGAUUCUGAUUCAAGAAUUAUUAUAAUAACAGUAUUAUUAUUGUGAUUUCUUAUUUGUCAAAAUUUUUAAUUCUUGAGAUAUUUUAUUAUAUUUACCUUAAUAAGAGUGGGAGGAUUCAGGGAGUCUAAAGAUUCUAUUCUUUUAGUAUAUAAAUAGAGGUUUUUUUUUUUCUUUUAUCAAUCCAUUUUUCAUAUACUGUUACAGAAAAACAAAAAGCCUUGUUUGUUAAACAGAGAAUCAAAAGUGAGAGAGACGAAGUUUGGUUAGUCCCACAUCACAAAUUUCUCAAACAAAGCUAUAAUGGGUAUCCAUUUUUUGCUUCUAUCUCCUUUGGGUUUUUCUCUUCUUUUUUCAGAGCGUUGGUUUUGUUUUUGUUAAUACUGAAAAUUUUCAAAGUUUUUAGAUCCAGAGUCUUAUGCUAUGAGAUUUGCUUUAUCUUCUACUAAGUUUUUUUUUAAAAGAAGUUUUUCUGUGGAUUUGAUUUGGUAGGUUUAUUUUCUUUACUUGUAUGUUUUUACACCAAUUGACAAACACAUAGAGAACUACAUUUCCGGAGAGGGUUUCGGCUAUGUUUAAUGACUUUUCCAAGUCUUGAAUGGCCUUUUCUUUGGUAUGGUAUAAGUCAACAUUCUGUUUCUUCUUUUGGAGUCUUCUUAAUUGCUCUACUUUUUUUUUUUCUCUGCUUAAAAGUUUCAAGUUUUUAAGUCUCAUCUCUCCUCUUUUACUUCAUAUGUAUGUUUCCAAGAGGUCCUUGUUUAGGUCUUACCACCCAAGGUUCUGCAUAGGCUUUCUUAGUUUUUUGAUUGGUUGCUCUUAUUUCGAACUUCUAUCCUUAGUUUCUGUCAUUGACUGAAUCUUUGUUUCUUUUUUCUAGAGAUGAAUAUGAGCUUUUCUCAUGACAUGGAUGAUGAAUAUGAGAAAUUCAUUAGAAGAAUGAAUCCACCCAGGUAACCACAAGCUCUUCUUUAUGCUACUUUCAUUACAAUUAUAGAGAUGGAAUAAAGAAAAUUACUGUAUUACUCACCUUUCUUGUCAGGGUUGUGAUUGACAAUGAAUCCUGCAAAAAUGCAACUGUGAUAAGGGUAUGUAUAACCCUCUUGAUUUUUCUUUAAUUUUUUUUUUUUGCAUCUUCUGGUUCUUAUUAGAUUUUCUAAUGCAGGUUGAUAGUGCAAACAGACAUGGAAUCCUUCUUGAAGUUGUUCAAAUCCUUACUGAUAUUAAUCUUAUUAUUACUAAAGCUUACAUAUCUUCUGAUGGCAAUUGGUUCAUGGAUGGUAAGAUACCCUGUCCCCUUUUCUUUCCCCUUUUUAAUUAUAAAGUUGUCUACCAAGUACAAAUUUGAUUCUCAGUUUUUUUUUUAAAACCAGUUUUUAAUGUUACUGAUCAAGACGGAAACAAGAUCCUAGAUGAAGGGAUUCUAGAUUAUAUAAGGAAGGUAAGCAGUACAAGUUUUAAUUGAUUUACCUUUUUUACCUCUUAAUUUUCUUGGUUUUUUGUACAUUCAUAUGUUAUUUUGGUUUGGUCUUCAGUCUCUAGGACCAGAAUCUUGUUUCAUGCCUUCAAUAAGAUCAGUUGGGGUGAAGCAAUCAAUGGAUCACACUGCGAUCGAGUUGACAGGAAGUGACAGACCAGGAUUGCUGUCUGAAGUGAGUGCUGUCCUAAGGCAUCUUAAAUGCAAUGUAGUAAAUGCUGAAGUUUGGACACAUAACACUCGUGCUGCCGCUGUGAUGCAAGUGACUGAUGAGGAAACAGAAACUGCAAUUACUGACCCGGAAAGGCUAUCCAGGAUAAAGUCACUUCUUUGCAAUGUACUUAAGGGAAGCAACAAAUCAAGUUUAGCCAAAACUGUUGUCUCUCAUUCAGUCACACAUACCGAGAGAAGGCUUCACCAGAUGAUGUUUGCUGAUAGGGAUUAUGAACGAAUUGGGGGCGAUGUCUUGGACGACAGACAAAGGCCAAAUGUUGAUGUUGUUAAUUGGCAUGAUAAGGACUAUUCAGUGGUUACCAUUAGGUGCAAAGAUAGGCCGAAACUUCUCUUCGAUACUGUUUGCACCUUGACAGAUAUGGACUAUGUAGUAUUUCACGCAAAUAUUGAUACUUUGGGGCCAGAUUCUUAUCAGGUAAUGCCAUUCUUUUUUUUUUCGCUCUUUCACAUAGCAGUUUCUCAUGAGUUCUGGGACUAAAACUAUGUUCUGUUCGUAGGAAUAUUACAUUCGACAUUUAGACGGAUCCCCAGUGAAAUCUGAUGCAGAGAGACAAAGGGUAACCCAAUGUCUUGAAGCAGCAAUCGAGAGAAGAGUAUCUAAGGUGAGUAAAUUAAUCUUUUCAUGACAUCAAAGUAUCACCUUUUUCUUCAUGUGUUUUAUGCAGUAUUUAUUUCUAUAAAAUAACAUACAAUUUGUAAGGAAUCAUUUUCCAUGUGUUUGUACAAUCCUAGUGCUUGUGAAUAAAUUAAUCUUAUAGUGUGGAAUUUGUUUGCAGUUAAUGGUCCCUCUUUCAAAUUUAACUAUCUUAAGCUAUUUAAAUAGUUUGGUACAGAUAUUGACACAAAUUGUUUAUAAAACAUGAAUCCAUACAUAUUGUAAUAUAAUAAUAAGUAGUCAUAAUCAAAACAUUAUAGCAGUCCAGUCUAGCAGACCCUCCAGUCAAAGAUCUCUAGCUGCUCCAUUGUUGACUCUUUUGUCAAAUUAUGUUAUCCCAUUAUCUAGCUAGCUGUCUCCAUCUAUACACUCCUACUCUUCAUUUUUUCUUGAAUUACUCAUGUCAAAUGAUGUGCCUGAUUCAUAUCCGACCCACCAACUCCAUGUUUAAUAAGAUAUGUAAUUAGAGGACUCCUUUCAUUAAAAUUUGCAUUGCUCAUAAACUUGUCUCUAAUCCAGGGUUUGAAGCUAGAACUUUGCACAACAGACAGAGUGGGAUUGCUGUCUGAUGUAACUCGGAUCUUCCGAGAGAACAGCCUGACAGUCACCCGAGCAGAAGUGACAACAAAAGCAGGCAAAGCUGUGAACACGUUCUAUGUUCGUGACGCAUCAGGCUAUCCUGUAGAUGUUAAGACCAUAGAUUCUAUCAGACAAGUUCUUGGCCAGACCAUUCUAAAAGUUAAAGGUAACCCUGACGACAGUAAACCACUUUCCCAGGAAUCUCCAACCAGGUUCCUUUUUGGUGGUCUCUUCAAAUCAAAAUCUUUUGUCAACUUCAGCUUGGUUAGGUCUUAUUCUUAGGAAUCUAUAUAUAUAUAGGUCCUUUGACGUGUAAAUGAAAACCCACUUUGAUUUAGAUGAUGGAUUCCAGUUUAGAUGUUGUGGAGUCUAAGAAAUCAUUUCUCAGUUCUGGUAUUGGAAAUUAAACCACAGAAAUAGAAAUGGAAGGACGUGUAAAUAUGGGAGCUCACCCCCUUUUUUUUUAUUUACUGUGUAUUCAAUCUAUAGUUGGAUCCACAAAUGCUAAAAAAUGAAACAAUGACUUUCUGUACAAAACCCAAGUCUCGCAAUUUUCAUUGCUUUGAUUAUCUUUAUUUUUAGUUGUUUUGACUGUAAUUUUGGACUAUUGUACAUAGAUUUGACCUAUUGUGUAUAUAUAUAUUAACAGAAACUGGAAAUUGAAAAAAAAAGAGAGAGUAAAAGCAGGAUUUCGAAAUUAGUGAAUAUCAGCCAUUUAAAAUAAAUAAAUAGACAAACUGAAAUAAAUGAUUAAAUUAGAAUAGUUAGAAGAGAAGAUGAGGAAAUGGGAUUAUUUAGAGUGGAGGGUGACUACUUAGGGUUUGACCGAUGAUCCCACCCACCACCAAAUCAGCCAUUAGACACGCAAAUAAGGGUGGCGGCUUUGGUGUUUGUUUUAUAUUCAUUUCUAAAGUUUUCCAUUUCUUUUCUAUGUUAAAUCUUUUUAACAUUGCUUUCACUCCAAGAAAGCAAUUUUUUUUAAAGAAUAAAUUUUUAUAUGUUUUUUUGGAGAUAGUAUGCCAAUUAUUAACGUUCGUCAUUCUCAUUUAAAUAACUACAUUAUGGGUGAGAAAAAAAAUAGAUUAGGUUUAUAAUAUAUUCUUUUAAGACCAUGGUAUUUUUUUAGGAGUUAUUUUUUUUGCGAACCUUUUUAAGUGGAUGACUUUUUUAUAAAAAAAUUAUACAACAUAAUUAUCUUUUUGAUAUAUGCAAUUACUAAAAUAAAAAUUAUUUAAGAAAAUAGAUUAUUUUUAUGUGAAUGUAUGACACGCAUUUUAAACAUGCUUUCUACUAACAAAGCAUUUGACCCAGUAUAUUGGUUAUAUAUGGAAUUUGAUUAGUGUGAGAAUUUUAUGUUUUUAUUUUUAAUUAAUAAUUUUUUUAUUUAUAUAGAUAAAAUAAUAAUUAUAUAAUUAUAUAAUGAAAAAACAUCUUUAAUAUAUAGCAUUAUGUUAAAUAUAUUUUAAUUUUUUAAAAAUCAACUAUUUUUCCUUGUAUAUAUUUUUUAUUUUUAGUUAUUUUUUUAAUUAAUAGCUUUUUUAUUUAUAUAGACAAAAUAAUAAAUAUGUAACUAUAUUAUGAAAAUAUAUUUUUCAAUAUAGCAUUAUAUGUUAAACGUAUUAUCAACUAUUUAUGCUGAUAUAUUUUUUCUUUUAUAAUUUAAAAUUAAUAUCGGAUAUUAAUUAUGUACAUAAUUAUUUUUUGAAAAUUUCAUUUUACUCGGGCUUGAUUGGAUUUUGAUUCAAAAGAAAAAAAAAAUUAUGGAGCUAAAUCAACUCAAAAACACCUUUUAAAAGAUUACAUUGUACGAUUAAAACAUUUAUUGUUUUAUUUGAUGUUUGGUCAAUUACUCUUUUACCCAUAAAUGUAAUAUAAGUAUUGGGCUCAACAAUAUGAUAUCGCCAACAUAUCAAAACUUGUCGUUAAUCUAUUGGAGAUAUAAGAAUUGAUACAUAAAAUAAUUUUUUAUUUGAUUUGUAAUCAUAUAAAGCGCAAAAUAUUUUAGCCAUUUGAAAACACACACUAGAAUAAGAGGUAACAAAUUAUUGGUAGCAUAUUCGAUUAAACGAGUGAUUGAUAACCAUAUUUGAUUGCUAUAGGAAUACCAUUUAGUUGACUCGUGUCUGCUUAAAUAACCUCAGUUAAUCCUAUCUUUCUUUGAUAAAAUAUAUCAAAAUAAAUAAUUGAGGUUUUAAAAAAAUAAAAUAUACCAAUAAGUGGUUGGCUGUGAUAAGACAUAUUUAACAUAAUGAAAUAUAUAUUGAAAUAUAUAUUUUCAUCAUAUACUUCCAUAUUUUUUAUUUUAUUUAUAUAAAUAAAAAAAUUAGUAAUUUAAAAAACAAAUUAAAAGUAAAAAAAUACAAGAAAAAUAUCUCAACAUAAUUAAUUAUUUUUAAAAGAUAAAUUAUAUUUAACAUAAUGCUAUAUAUAUAAUAUUUAUUUUCAUCAUAUAAGUACAUAUUUAGUAUAUUGUCUGUGCAAAUAAAAUAUUAUUAAUUAAAAAACAUAAAUUAAAAAGUAAAUACAAAAAAAUAUUUAUAACAACGUGAAUUAAAAAUAAAAACAUAAAAUGCUUGAGAGAGGAUUUGACCCUGAAUCACACUAAUAAAAUAUGACUUGGCUUUGUUAGCAAAAUGUGAUUUUGCCUCAUCAACACAAAAAUGGUAUAUUUCCUUAAAUAAAUUUAAAUCUGAUCUAAAAUCUAAUUUUUUUUACAUUGAGUUGAUGCCGUAAAACAUAACACUAAAUUUAGUCAAACAUUUUAUAAUUAAAAAAAAUUAUUAAUUUAAGAAUAUUUAUUUGAAUGGAAAUAAGAUAUGAUGGUGAUAUGGAAUGAAGGAAACCCCGCCUUUUCUUAUGGUUGAAACAUUUUGAUCUAUUUAUGGUGAAUUAAUUGUAGGAGGCAGCCAUGUUGGAAUUAGACCAAUUGGUAUUUUAGUGUUGGGUUGUUAUUGGAGUCUCCAAACUUGAAUCCAUUUUCAAACUCAUUCAUUUCAUGCUUUUCUCCAUUGCAAUCCUUCUAUGGUCCACUCAUUCAUUCCACAAGCAGUCUUAAAAAAUGAUAUGUAUCUUCUUUUUUAAAAUAUUUUUUAUAUCAUUAUAAGACACUUGUCAACCUCCUAAUUCUGUUUUACUUAAAAGACUCUAAGAUUUCAAAAUUUUUUUCUCUUUUUAACUUUUUUUCUUAGAUAAAGAUAAGUUUGUAUAUCUAAAUGAUGGUGGUGCAUGGAAGAGCCACCUUAAGAAAGAGGUCAAGGUGCAUAAAUAAAUAUGAAAGCCACCAACCACAUGGUUGUCUUUCCAGCCAGGUUUGCACAUGAAAAGAAAAAGACGGCAUAUGAUUUUAUAUAUAUGUAUUAAAUUUAAGACUUUAUUUUAGGAGUUCAACUUCAUCAUGGUUUGCACUGUUUGAUGCAAUCUUGAGAAUAAAAAAUGGCAUAAUACUAGCGCUAACGAAUUCGAUUUUCCUUAGAAGUUUUUAAAUUGGAUUUGAAAUUAUUUAAAUUCUAAAAAAUUAUUGGAAUUAAUAUAUAUGAUCAAACUUUAAAAUAUUAUGGUUCAAGGUUAAUUAUCUAGUUUUUUCUGACGUGGGAAUUUCUAUCUUCAUUGCUAAGUCUUUGUUUCUCCCUUAUCAAGUAGAGGCGAAGCUAGAAAUUCUUCUUAAGGGACCAAAAUUAAAUUUUAAAUUUUAAUAAUUUAUAUUUUUAUAAUUUUUAAAGAAUUAAAUUAAAUUUUUAUCAUUUUUAAGAGGGUCAAAGUGUAAUUUUACAUUUACUAAUUUAAAAUUUUAAAUUUUUUAAAAGACCUAAAUAGACAAUUUUCCAUUUUAAGGGGACUGGGCCACUUGCAGCCCGUAGAUAAGCCACUGUUCUCGAGAAAUAUUAGGGUUGGUCUAGAUUUUGAGGUUGUUUUUCUACUAUUCAAUUGUAGAAAUGUCAAUUUUAAUAUGCUCUUUUAUGUUUUGUUUAGUUUGGUUUGCCUUGAGUCUUAAGUGGUAAAUUGAGAUCAAUCAUGGCACAUUAGGUUUAGCUUUCCUUGCAUCUCGCACUUGGUCUAUUUCUUUCAAUUCUUGCUUCUUUUGAUUGCUUUAGGUUUUGCUUAAGUCAAUAUUUUUAGGAUAUUAUGAUUUGAUCGGUCCUACUAACAAGGUUAUAAAUGGGAUAUACUUUUAAUGACUUGUCAUACCUAUUUGGAAGUAAAGCUUUAAGAUUUAGGUUUUGCAAAUGGGAUGAGAUUUAAUCAUAGAACUAGAGUGGGAUGAAAAGAAUUGAGGGUUCAAAGCUUGUAUCGAUUGGGAUGAUAAUCACAAUUGAAAGGUGGUGAUGGCUGCUCUUAGAAGGAUUUGGUUGGAAACGGAAGUGGUUUCCAUUCCAAAACUGGGCAAUAACAUGUAUGGAUCUUACUAAUGGACAGAGGCCAUGAACAAUAAUGGGACAUCGCUUGUGCAUUAAAAGAUGAGAAGGGGAUCAAACCAUAAUUGAAAUAUGUUUUGAUAAAAUGUUCUUUUCUAUUCAAGUACAUAAGCUACACCUAGAUGCAUAGAGUAGUUAGAAUGUUAGGAGGUUAUAUGAGUUGAAGAUACAUCUUUGGAUACAGGAGGGGGAUUGGUGAUGAUUUUUGAGGGUGUGAAUAAGUCACUGCUUAACAGGUUUUAGGUACCAAGAAUGUGACAUAAAGUACGAGUGAUUGGUUGAGUUUUGUGUAAAUUUAACGGUAAAGAUGUUUAGACCCUGGAUGAAAGCUAGGAUUUUUUUGAAACAUACAGUAAGGAGUGGAAUGCAAAGAAAAUGAAGGGUAAAAAUGUUAUAAAAAGGAGAAGGAUUAGAGAAGAUAGGUAUGAGUGGGAAGGAGUAUGACAACAGGAAGAGAGAAGGGCUAAUGAAGGUAGAACAGGGUAGAGUUAGGGUGUACGAAUAGGUCAGGUUGAGCAGCAGGGGAAUCAAUAAGAUUGAAUUUGAAGAGAUGAUUUGUGAAUAAUUUUAUAAUAGAUUUAAUGAUAAAUUUGAUCAUUAACGUUUAUAUAUUUUUCAAAAUAGUUGUCGAAACCGUUUUUUUGAAAACAAAAAUUUAGUUGUCGACUUUAAAAAUAAAACUGGAGUCGCCACCGAUCCUUUAUUAAGGUGUGAUCGGCUCACCUUAAAAAUUAUUUUGGUCUACGAAUUUUGAGAAAACGAGUCCGGGAGUCAGUUAUGCACGAGGAAGGGUUAACACCCUCGUAACGCCCAAAAUUGGUACCAAAUUGAUCAUUUAAUGUCUUAAUGUCGAAGGUUAAAAAGAUUUUAAAAUCAACUCAAAUGAUGAAAACUGAAAAGGAUGAUCAAUUGUUCAAGUCUUGUAAAGAAAUCGAGUCCCAAUACGUUAGGGUACAAUUCCUCAUAAUCCCCGACCUUUGAAUAUCACUUUUAUUUUAUGUGAAAAUCUUCAUUUUGAGAAAGUAACAUGCCACACCCAAUGCGUUAGGACACAACAAGUUAAGUUCCCAAAAAUGAUUUUUAUACUCAUGCAUUUUGAAUAAAGAAUAUUCUCGAUUAUUUAAGAUUAACAAAGAAAAUCAGAAUCCAAUACGUUAGGGCUCCAUUUCCCUCGAAAAUCCCAAACUUCGAAUAUUACUUUUAUUCAAAAAAAAUCUUUGAAUCAAGAAAAUAACUUUGAUGUAUGGUUAAAACCAAACCAUAUUUUCAAAAUGGGUAUGUUAAAAAGUUAAUGUACAAUAUGAUACAAAUAUUUUAAUUUAAAAUAUACAUGUACAUGUAUUUACAAAAUAUGUAAACACAAGCACAAUAUACAAGUAAAUUUGAAAAUAUGUGUAUGCAUAUAUUUAACACACAUAUACAAGUAUACGUAUGUAAAAAAAGUGUACAGCAGAACUUAUAAUAAUCUCCAACAAUAUGUAUGUAGGUUUCAAAGAAAAUACAUAUAUGUACAAAAAUAAGGAAAAUACAUAUGUAUUGCAAAAUAUAAGUGUACAUACAUAUAUACUUAUUUAUAAGAACUAUGAAAACAAAGAAGGAAAUAUAUAUAUAUAUAAACUAUGCGUGUAUUAAAAUAUGUAUAUAUAUAAUUACACAAAAUUAUGAAAAUAAGAUAAAAAAUAAAAGUAUGUAUAUGUGUAUAUAUUUACAAAAUAAAAAAUGUAUAAAUAUAUAUAUGAAAUAUAAAGUAUAUGGAAGUUUAAAAAUAAAAACUAUAUAUAUAAAAAGAAAUUAAAAAACGUAUGAAUAACAUAUAUGCAUGUAUUUAUAAAAGCUUAAACUGUAUAUAUUAUAUAUAAAAUAUGCGUAUGUAUAUGUAUAGAAAAUAUAAUAAUAAUAAUAAUGAUAGUAAAUAAUAUAACAAUAAUAAUACAAUGCCAAAGAACUACAAAAAAUUGAUUAAGGAUCUAAUUGAAAAAUAAACAGAGUUUAAGGGUCGCAUUUAAUGAUUUGUGAAUAAUUUUAUAAUGGAUUUAAUGAUAAAUUUGAUCAUUAACGUUUAUAUAUUUUUUAAAAUAGUCUUAAGGUGAGUUUGGAUGGGUGGUGCGUUUACCUGCGAUUAGUGUAAAAACAGCGGUGGCGGUGAGAUUAUAUAUUGUAGCGUAAGACAAAAAAUAAGCUAAACGCACCACACCGCACCCAAUCGCUCGUUCAAAUCCACCUUUAAUUGUAUUUUUGAAUUGUUUUGCCAUCAUUUUUUUUUCAAUUCUUUUUUUUUUUAAGUUUAAUGAAAGAAUAAUAAAUUACAUCUGAAAUUACUUUAAGUAAAUCUGUUAGAACAAUUAAAUUGAAGAAAAAGAUCAAAAAUUAUGAAAAAAAAAUUUAAAAAUAUAAUUAAGAGCAUUUUAACCAAAUAUAAAAAGGUUGCUCAUCAAAUUUAUCAUUAUAGCCUUUUAUAAUUUACGAUGAAAUAUAUUUUUAGUUCACGCAAUUCGUAUAUUUCUUAUUUUAUUUAAAAUUUUUUGAAAAUCUGAUAGUCUUUUUUCAUUCUUCGACUCCCUAGGAACUGAAACCCACUUCCCAAUUACCAAUUAUUUCGAUUUUCUUUUCCCACAACACCUCCAAACAAAAAAACAAAGCCUAAUGAACCAUCCCAAAUUCCCGAAGUAUGCCACAACCAUCCUCUUGCCAUUCCAGUCUUCCCUUUAGACCUUCAUUUGUAUUCUUCAAACCCUUUGAGAGUUUCUGAGGCAGUGUUUAAAAAGGUUCACCGGCUAGAUAUAUAUCCUCGAUGGCGGCGACAGCACCCGAAGGCGACGAUCGGCGGCAGCAAAUAGUGAGAUUCAAGAUGAGAGAAAAGCUUAAGUCUAAAGAGAAGAAAGAGACGUAGUCGGCAGCAAAACAUAACCAAGGCUAAAAAGAAAAGAAGCAGAAAUGAUAACUUUUUUUUUUCUUUUGUGUGUGUGUGUGUUUAUGUGUUUAGUAGGCAGGUGACUACUGACUAGUGACUAGGGCUGUGUUUUAUUUUUCAAUUCAUUUAAUUAUUUUGGGUUGGGUUUGCUAAAAUUUAAGAGUUUGGGCCGAAAAGGGUAAUAUUUCCGGUUUGGGUCAGUAAAUUUUGCCCAAAAAUAUAAAAAACCGGUUCAUCCAAUUUGUAGUUUACAGUCUAACUGCGAUUCGCAGUGGUUCAUGGUUCAAAUGGUUUCCCUUUUAUUUUGGAGGGAUAUACCAGCCACUUCUCGAUCCGAUUUAAAUACCAUUGACUAAAAUUUAAGUUUAGCUUUAUAAAUAACAGUUAGAUAUAUUUAAUAUUCAAGUAGUAUUUAAGAAAAAAUUGCUAAUAAAAAGGGUGAAAAUCAUAUUAUCUAAAAAAAGAAGAAAACAUUAAAAUAGUGAUUCAUGUAAGAGGUAAUAUCGAAUUAUAUUCGAAUAAAAAUAACCCCGAAAAAAAAUGAAAUUUCUUUGAAGAGACAGUAUCAACUUCAUGAAACAUGAAAAAGAGAUGGAAUAUUAUUUAAACCUAAAAUUCUUUUGGUUUUUUUUAUUAAAUUAAAUAUCAUUGUUUUUAUUUUAUAAUUUUUAAUGAAUUUUUUUUCAAUUCAAUCAAAGUUUUAUUUUAUGGUUUAUAAUUUUCUAUAAUUUGUUAAUAUCGUCUAUUUAUUUUAUCAAUAUUUAUCUAAUUCUUUUUAAAAUAGAAAUUGAGACAAAAUUAGAAAAUAUGUAUAACAAAUUCAGAACAUAAGUAAAUCAAAGAUAUAAAUAAAGAAAGAAUCAACACGAUAAUUGUUAACACAGUUUAGAUUCAACAAUAUUAUAUCUUGGAUAAUUAUUGGCUAAAGCUCAAUCUACCAAUUGUCAAUGGAUAAAUAUUGCAACCCCAAAGUCAAAUCUAAAUUAUUACAAAUCAUUUUUCCCAGAUACGUUAGUGCCUAAACACACUCCAAAUGACUCGAACAACAAUCUAUUUAUAGGCUCUCCUUCAACGUGAUCAAAAAUAAGAAAAUGAGUCUUUAUCACAUGUUUAAAUAUUGAUAAUCAUCUUAAAAUAUUCAAAUAAAACUUUUUAUAAAGCAACUUUUCAUCAACUUCAAAAGUCUCAAUAGAUAAUUAUUAAGGAAAAAUAUUGCCUUUCCAAGCAUAUCAAACAUCUUUACCUCUUCUUCAAGUUACACAAACAAAUGAUAAUGAUUAUUCUAGAAUGUUGAGUCACGGAAUAUCUCCACGUUUGUUGUUUUAAUGAGGUUUACUCAAAAGUCAAACAUGUCAAUAUGAAAACUUUGACGGUUCUAAAUUAACUUAUUUUAACUAUUAUUUGAAAAUAAAAUGAAAUAAACAGUACACAAAAUAUUUUAUGAUAAAGAACCUCGAACUAAUUAAACAUGUACUUCAAGCAACAUUUAUGUCUCUACAUAUUUGACCAUGAAAACAUGGUCCUUCAUUAUCAAAGAUGCCAACUUGAAGACCUUUGACUGGUACAAGGAUUGGUUCAAACACUUUUCAAUCAGCCCACGAGAUAAUAAAGAAUAGCAGCAGGUUUGAGAGUCGAAUGCAGGCUUGGCGCUGGGGUCGUAUGGAGGUGCGGCAGUCCAGGGCCCAAAGUUGAAAAGAGUCCAAAAUAUUAUUUUCUAGUUUUUAAAGGCACAAUUUUUUUUAAAACUUUUAAAGGCCCAAAAAAUAUUUCUCCAAUUUUUAAGGAACAUAAAACUCCAUUUUAUUGUUUUGCCUAGGGCCCAAAAAUGUCAAAAAUAGGCCUGGUCGGAUGAAACAGUCAAAAGGUUCCGACAAAGAUAAAAAAUAUACGAUGGACAAACAUUUUACAUUCUAUAUAAUCGUGUAUUUCAUGUGUGCUUAUCAAAUAAAAGAUAAAUCAAAUUGCUAGCUUUGUUGCCUAUUUUACAUCCUAACUUAUAUAUAGCUUGUGUUAUAUAUAUUGUUGAAAUAGAACAAUUUUCAUAUUAUAUUCUUAUUUAAUUAUAAUUUAAAUUAUUAAGUUUGAAUAAUAAGUAAUGUCUUAUUUUAUAUUGUUGAGAUCGAUCCGAUUAUGCAAUGAACAAGUAAAAAAUAGCGGAAUAAAUUAAGAAAUUGAACACACAAAUUUAACAUGAAAAACCCCCUCCAAAGAGGAUAAAAAAUCACGGGUAAAUAUAAUUUUAUUAUAAUGGCAAAAGAACGAAGAGUACAAAAGAUGGAGAUAAAAAACUAAACCUCGAAACCCGAAAACAAAGAACUCUCAAAACGUAAACAUAAAAUUCUCUAAAAGUGUUAUGAGUUCUAAUCUUUAAUGGGUUUACUUUCUAAAGUUGUAAAAAAUUCUAUUUAUAGGCUAAAUUUGCAGGUCAUAUAAUAAUAAAAUAAUCUAGACUAAUCAUAGUUCGACUGAAGCAAAUAAAUAGAGUUUAAUUAGGAGAUUAUCUUUCAAAUUUGACUAAAAUACGUGUCAUACUCAAUAAAUCUCCACAUUAACUCGUAUUUCCAUAACACCAUCUUUACCAAAGCCCAUCAUGGGCCUAUCUUGAACUAUGCAAGGAAUUAAUUGAGUUGAAUCUAUGCUUAGAAACUGGAAUACUUCUAGCAUUCGAUUUAUGCACUGCCAAAUCAAAACUAACUCGGGUCUAAUUUUUACGAACACGGUGCCCUAACUUUUCAAAACUUGCAUCCAAAAGAGAACUUUUCAAUGAAACAAUCAUACCUUUUUUUUUCCUUCUAUGACCAUGUAAUAGCCCGAUUUUCAGUGAUGUCGAAAAUAGUGGUUCGAGACCACCAAAUCCGAAAAAUGAGCUCAUAAAUUUUAUUAUUUAAUAUUUACGAGCCAAAUGAGAUUUUUAAAAGAUUUUUGAACCAGUAAGUUUGUGGUUAUAAUGAUUUAUUAGAUUAAUUAAUUUUAAAAAAGAGGUAUCAAGGCCUCGGUGUUAUAAAUUGAGCCGUAAAUAUUUUUAUAAAUAUUUACGGAGUGUCAAUAAGGUAGUAUUAAAGUUUUUUUAGGAAAUUUUAACGCUUUGGUAGUCAAUUAAUUAAAAAUGACUAAAUUAAAAAAGGUACAAAACUUGCUAAAGUGAUUAAAUAGUCUAAAUAGUAAAUAAAGGAAGACUAAAAGGGCAAAUAGACCCAUAUGAAUGGAGAAAUAAAUGGGAAAUUGAAAUUUCUAGACAAAUUCAUCAUCAUUUUCAGCUAAAAAAAAGCCAUUGAAGAUUUUUUAAGCUGGUUUUUCAUAUUUUAGCUUAAUGUAAGUUUAAUUCUUGCUUUUUCCUUGAAAUUUUUUAUGUUUUUGGACUUUUACAACUAGGUCCAAGUUACUAUUUCAUUAGUUUUUGAUUUUGUUGAAAGUUUUGGAAGAUACCUGUAAUCACUGAAUUUUGUCUGGUACGUUCUUCGUGUUUUUAUUUUAUUUUAUUUAUUUUAUCUUAUUUUAUUUUAUAUAUAUUAAAAAAAUUAUGAUUUUUUUGGGCUUACCUAAUGUGGGCCUAAUGAUUGGGCCCAAUGGGUGGGCAUGUAGGGUUGGAUAAUUGGGUUUUAAAUAAUUUAAUUUUGGACUUGUUUGGGCUUUGGCCCAUUGUUUUGUUUUGUUUUUUGUUUUGUAUGUUUUAAAAAUAUUAAUAAAACAAUAAUAAAUCAGAAAAAAAUAAAAAAAUAAAAAUUACAUUCGAACCCCUAAAAUUUCUAAAAAUUACAUUUUAGCCCCAUAUUUUUAUAAAAUUACAUUUUUACCCUGAAAACUUUACACCCUUUACAAUUUGGUCCUCUUGGACAUGUCAAAUCUGCCAGUCGGCAGCCAAGCGUGCUCCACCCACCUCCAGCUACUCCAGCAGCCUCCCUAGGCCAAUGAUGCUCCCCUACCGCCUGAAAACAAAGGAAAGAAGACAAAAUUGAAAGGAUUUAAAAGAGGGAGAUGAAAGGAAGAAGGGGGGAUUUUCGGCAGCCAAGGAAAGCAAAAAAAAAACAACAAAAUCAAGCAAAAAACAGCAGCAAAAAGCCCCACGCCUCCGCGUCCACCGCCGUCCCUCACCACCGGCCGUCGUUCCCCCAUCCACCAAAGACAAAGAAAGCCAAUAAAUAAAUAAAAAAGCAAAGUCAAAGAAAAAAACAGCAAGCAAAAAGCAAAAAAAACAAGCAAAGAAGAAAAAGAGAAGAGAAGAGGAGAGCUUCACCGUGCGCCACCGCUGAUCGCCGCGCCAGGCUGGGGGGUGCACCGUCGGGGCUGAACGGAGAAGAAAGAAAAAAGAAAAGAAGAAAGAAAGAAGAAACAGAGAAGAAAGAAGAAAAAAAAAGAAAGAAAAAAGGGGAAAGAAAAAAGGGGAAAGAAAAAUAAAAAAUAAUAUAUCGGGUCGACCCGAACCGGAUUCAACCCGCGACCCGACCCAACAGGACCAGCAGUAGUAGGUCAGCCCAAAAAAAAAACCAAAAUAGAAAAAGAAGCAGCAGAAAAAAAGAAAGAAAGAAGCAGAAAAAAGAAGAAGAAAGAAGCAGUCCAGCAGCAGGCCCAGUGCAGCAGUCCAGCAGCUUCAGCCCAAUAGCAGCAGACCAGUGCCCAGCAGCUCAUAAGUAGCGGCCCACUUCCUGGCAGCCCAUAAGUAGCGGCCCAACAGCAAAAAAGUAAAAAGAAAAGGCCCAUUCUUCAACUCCAUUAUUUUGGGCUUUUGGGUAAAUUUUUUAUCCAUUUAUUUUAGUCCAUUUAUUUAAAUAUUGUAUUAUUUCAAUUAAAUUAGCAUUUUUAAAAUAGUUUUUUUUAGAAAUAUUGUUACAUUUAUUUUACUCGUAUUUUAAAAAAAAAUAUAUUUAAUGCAUAAGUCAACGAACCGAUUUAAUUUUAAGUCAUCGAAUUCAUUGCUAUGUUGGGUGAAUAUCGAUUGCUCGUGUUAAAUACGGGACGCCCUUCUAAAAAUCGAAAAUAUUCAAAAUUCCUCGUAUUUUAAUAAAAAUUCUUGUGUUUUAUUAGAAUCCCGAUUAAAUAUUAAAUUGAAUUUAUUUAACACUAAUUCGAUGGUUUCAUCGCCAUGUUGGGGUGAAUACCAUCGAUUCAUGUUAAAUACGGUAUUUUUAAAAAAAAUCGUGUUUCAAAAAUUUUCAUGUCUUCAAAAUUUCUCGUGUUUCAAAAUAAUAAUAAUAAUAAAAUUUCCCGUGUUUCAAAAAAAUAUAUUCCUGUUUCUUUUUUAAAAAAUUCCGUGUUUCAAAAAUUCUCGUGAAUAAAAAAAAAUUUCGUGUUUUCAAAAUUCCCGUGUUUGAAAAAAUUUCGUGUUUUCAAAAAAAAAUUUCUCGUGGAUAUUUUUUUUGAUGUUAUCGUGUUUUCAAAAAAUUCCCGUGUUUGACAAAUUUUUCUGUUUUCAAAAAAUUCUCGUGUUUUCAAAAUUUUCAUGUUUUCGUGUUUUCAAAAAAUUCUCGUGUUUUUAAAAAAAAUUUCGUGUUUAAAAAAAAUCAUGUUUUCAAAAUUUUCGUGUUUUCAAAAUUUUUCGUGUCAAAAAAAUUCUCAUGUAUCGAAAAUUUCCGUGUUUUCAAAAAAAAAUUUCGUGUUUCAAAGAUCUUCGUGUUUUCAAAAAUUAUUAUUGUGUUUCAAAAUUCUCGUGUUUAAAAACAAAAAAAAGUUUUCUCGAGUUUCAAUCGGAUCACAAUUAAAUAUUAAAUUGAACUUGUAUUUUUGAAAAUUAAGAUAACGCGCGUUUAACGAGAUACCAAUUUUGGGCGUCGCGAGGGUGCUAAUACCUUCCUCGCGCGUAACCGACUCCCGAACCCUAAUUUUCUCUGGAUUUUUACGUGGACCUAAAAUUGCCUUUUUUUGGAAAAGUUUUAAAAAAAAUUCUUCUAAAAAGAGAUUUUUGAAGGUGUCCGAUCACACCUAUAAAAAAGAUCGGUGGCGACUCCUUUUCUUAAAUAAAAUCAAAACUCCAUUUUCAAAUUUUCAAUAAUCGCUUCGAUUAGUGCCCGUGCCCAAAAUUUUUAGGUCGCUACAAUACCAUUGAUAAGUUAAUAUGAUUUUAGUUAUUAGAUGAUGAAAUUUAGAUGUUGAUGGGUAUUUAAAGGUAUUUUAUUAAGGAAUUUUGGAUGAAAUCAUGUUUUAGGGAUUAAUAUAUAAAGUUGUUGAAUUUAUGAGAAAUUAUGUAAUUUCAUGGAAUUUAUGGGAUGCUAUUGAUAUAUGUGAAAGUAUUUUGGCUUGGAAUAAGGAAUAAAUGACAUGAAUUUCAUUUUCCGAGCCUAGGGAUGAAACCGUCAUUUAGUAAAAGUUUAGGGGUAAAAUAGUAAUUUUGUCUAAGAUGUGACUUGGGUAGAGUUGAAUGUAAAUUGUAUUAAAUUGAUGUUAAAUUUACUCAUAGAUCCGGAUAGAUCAAAUAUGGAGCUUACUCAUAGAUCUGGAUAGAUCAAAUACGGAGCUAUAUCGAGGUAAAGAAAAAGUGACGGAUUAGUAAACAUCAAUUUACUCAUAGAGUUGGACGUGGCAUGUACGGAGGCGAAGGCGCGCGUGCGAUGGCUCGUCACGUGUGGAGGGAGAGCGAGGGGCGUCACUGCUGCAGCGCUGGGAACCCUUGCUAGGGUUUUUGGUGUUUUGGGGUUGAGUUGGGUUUUGGGCUAGGUUAGAAUUUUAGGUUAAGGUUAGGUGACUUGGGCCUUUUGGGCCAUUGUAAUCGAGUUAUGAAAAUUGGGUUGUAACUGGACUGAUGGACUUUUAAUGAUUUUGUUUUUAUUUAUAAAAUUGGGCCGGACAAAUUGGGGUUAUUACACUUGUAAAGAUAAAACUCCCAAUAUGGAAUUUAUCAUAAUUAUUUCCAUAUCUUUAACACUAGAAAAUUAAAGAAUUUUGAAACAAACUCAAACGACAGAUUCUAAUCAAAUCAAAAAAUUCAACUGGGUUUGAGAAAAGGGAAAAAGAAUUUUGAAAUUAAAUUUUUGCAUACCUUAUAAAGUGAUCUCUUCCUAUUACAUAGAUUAAUUAUGGGUGAGUUUGGAUGGGCGAUGCGUUUACCUGCGG
RNAcentral lists this long non-coding RNA (53125 nucleotides) under Gossypium barbadense (sea-island cotton). RNAcentral describes it as "long non-coding RNA (GBAR_LNC021928)". The record is from RNAcentral. Lineage: Eukaryota; Viridiplantae; Streptophyta; Magnoliopsida; Malvales; Malvaceae.